Molecule: long non-coding RNA, 68773 nt
Filed under: Fragaria vesca (wild strawberry)
Lineage: Eukaryota; Viridiplantae; Streptophyta; Magnoliopsida; Rosales; Rosaceae
Description: long non-coding RNA (FVES_LNC000277)
Rfam family: Small nucleolar RNA snoR109 (bases 47351-47449)
Source: RNAcentral
UUUUGCUAUAUGAUUUUGUUUAUGAAACUUGAUUGUAAAGUUAAUGAUUGAGUUUUAUUUGUGAUGUUAUUGAUCAUCUUAGUUAAUCCUCAUGUUCAUGAAUAUAAAAAUUGAGGCAGGAGUUUGGUGAAAUUGGGAAUUGAAUUUGUGGGAGAAUGUUUUUGUGUAGUUGAGUUUAAUUCGUAGCGACCAAGUAUCAGGUGAGCUAAUAUAGCUGUACGAUUUUGGUGAUCGAGUUUAAACAAAAGGACUAGCAAAGAGGGAAUCAUGGUUUGAGUACGUGAGGGGUUACUGUUGAAGGCCUCAUUGCCUUCAUACAUUAUCAUUAUUGGUUUCUGUAAUAUAAAGAGGUUUGGCCUCCUACUGAGCUAUUGAAGCUCACCUCUAUAUUGAAAAUUUCAGGUAUUGAAUAUGAAGUUUAGAUUUCUAUGUUGAAGAGCUAUGUGCUGAUGUGAAGAAAGUGUGUGUGUGAUAGGAGCACAAAGUGUGACGUUCUUAAUAUGUUUAUACCCUUUAUUUACCCUUUGCUAACUCCUAUUUAGUUGUUUUAGCUUUAUAUUUGUGUUUAGUGUAGAAUAAUUGCUUAAUUUAGAAAUAUGUAGUUUUUAAUGUUAAAAUACAUAGUAAUUUCGGAAUUGAAGAAUUUGGUGUUGAAAUUGUGCUAAGUGUUGGAACUCCUUGUUUACUCAGGAUUCCUGUCUUGAUCAAGAUUCCAUCUUUCCUCGAAGCCUAGUCCAUGAAGGAGAGAUCCAAACCAAGUCCAAUAUGGAGAAGAAGAUCUAAAUUCGGCAGAAUUUCAAGAAUAUCCAAGCCCUUGAAAUCCGGAUUAAAUCGGGAGAAUUCCUGUGCACGUCUGUCAACUUCAACGGACUCUCCAGGACAGCUCACNNNNNNNNNNNNNNNNNNNNACGUGCCAGAUAUGGAUAGAAAGCUACGGGAGUCUAGUUUCCAAAUCAAUUGGAAUCACCUCAAUAUCUGUUUUCUAGAGGGAGUUAUGACGCAAUCAUCAGACGGAGGUCAUUCUGCCGAAAGGGAGAAAAACUAGGAAUCCUAAACCAAUUUGGUUUAGGCUUUGUGGCCGACUUCUCUAGGGUUUUUCCUCUAUAUAAAGCACGACUUCAAGGACAGAAGAUGAUCAUCAACCCGUGCAAAUAACACCAAAGCCUUUGCCGAAACUCCAUCAACCUCCAAACACCACAAUCCGAUCCCACCUUCAGCAUUCGUCCAAAGCACGUAGCCUAGGACUCCGCGCACUCGAAGAAUAGAACAAGUAGGGAUAUUUUGAGAGUGUAUUUCAUCUUCUAUUUUCGGAUUGCUAUGUGUUUGUUUUCGUUUAUGUUUGCUUUAGGUAUUUGCUUAAGUAUGCUUCGAUUCUUGUCUAUGAGAUAGAACUACUUUUGAACCAUGUUUUGAAUUAAAGUUUACAAUUUAUAAUCAAUGAUUUGAGGUUUUAUGCCGUGAGUUUUGUGUCUAAAUACUUUAAGAUUUUCGGUGCUAUAUUCCAUUAUCAUGUGUAGUUGAUACAAGUAGUUGAUAUUGCAUGUGUUAAUCAUCCAAAGUUCGACUUUGAUACACGUAGUUGAUAAGUUGCAUUGUCUUUGUUAUUUCACCGAUUUUCUACCUAUGUUUGAUUUGGACUUGUGCUUAAACACAUCAAAUUCUUUAUGUGAUACGUAAUUGCAUGAUUAGUUUAUGUGUGUGACCUAUAAGUAGAGCACGUAGCCGAGCUUGUUUGUGUCAGAUGUUGAAUGAAACCCGUAGUCUAAUUCUAAGUUGGUCUAUGUCAUAGGAACCACGUAGGAACUUAUGUGCAUAUCAAAUUUAGGUUGUAUAUUUGCUCACGGUAUAGACUUAAAUGAGAUUAGAGAUUGUCUUCUUUGUUCUUGCAUGGUUGUUUGGUUGUGUUUGCAUGAUUGUUGGUUGAUCACAUGUAAAUAUGUAUAGAAGUAAUUUAGGAUUUAUUAUCAAUGUUUAUUCCAAAAUCAUCAAAACCUUUAAACCUAUAUGCUUAUUUCGAUAUUUACAUUAGAUUAGAUGGAUCUACCCUGUAGUUGGAUCCCCGGUUUAGAACGAUCCCUGCUUGCUUUAUACUACGACUGAUUUGUUGACAGGGUUAAUUGAUGCGUGUGCAAAUACGUCUUAUCAGUGUGGCUUGUCCUUUUAAAUUUCUGUUUAGAAUAAGAACAAAGGCUGUAGCAUGUUGUUAGCCUUUGAAGUUAUGUUUUAAAUUUAGUUGGAAUAAUGAACUAUGACAAGUUUGUAUUGUAAUAACCUCUUUAUUGAAUUAGUUAUUGAUUCCAAGUUCUUUAAAUUGAUUCAUUAUAUUUCCAGCUCUUAUAUUUAAUAUUCAUUGGUUAAACUCAAGGUAUAAUAAAAUCUGCAAAAAGCUGGAACUAUGUUUUUUUUGAAAAUUCUGCAUGAGUUACUUUUCUUUCUGAAAACCGUACAGUUUUGUUUGGAAUUUGAAGUUGGUUUCCUCAUAAGAUUUGUAGUAGACAUUUUAAGGUUCAUUCCAGAAUUUGAAUAACUUGAAAACGAUUUCUGUAGAUUAAGUUAUGAUUUUUCAAAGUUUAAGAUUUGCAUCAGGAAAUUCUGCAUAUCAGGGUUUCUGGGAUUUUUGACUAGUUACAUUCUUUCGAAAAACUGUACAAAUUGGUUAAUUUUUUGCACUUGGUUUCUUCAUGAAUGUUACAAUAGACAUCUUAAAGAUCAAUUAAGAGUUGGAAUCUCUUGAAAAUAAGUUUUCUAGAAUUAGUUAUGAUUUUUCAAAGUUACAAGUCUGCUGCAUUUUUUUGAAACAACAACCAAGUUCUUAUUUCUUUUACUAGCUAGCUUUUCUUUUCAUUUCAGUCACACCUUCGACUCAAAAAAAAAAAAAAACAUCUAGUUCAGGGUGUGACAGAUCACCAACAUACCAUUGUUCAGAUUAAGUGGCACAUAAGCUUGUGGUUUUACAAUUGCAAGUGAAAAUUAUCUUUUCCAAACGGCCAUGAUUGAGUGUUACCGAUUCCCAGUGAUGAUUGUUCAUGCACAUUUAGUGUUAAAGAAUAGAUCGAGCAUGCUGAAUUGCUGAUAAUUGGAGAUUUGGAGGGUAUAUACCAUGGCACCUAGCUUAAUAAGCUUAGCUACCAAAUAUUGAAACAUGUAUGUAACCUGUUCAUAUACAUACUGCUUGCUUCAUCACCUCGAUCAGAUGCAUUUCUGAUUUACUAACCUUCUUGCAUGACUUUCACCAACUUAUUUUCAUUGCAGCACUAGAAAAUUGCUAGUAAAAUCAAAUGAUCGAUAAUGGUAGGUGGUUUGUGUACAUGAGAUGUUGGAGACAAUUAAAAAGUAUUAGUUGGCAUCGGGAACGUACUGUAAUAAUUUAGUAAUCAGUUAUUGGUUUCAUUAUGUCUAAAUUGGACAAUCUAACUCAAGCUUGUCUAUACUGAUGAAAAAAGUCGAAAAACUUUACCCUGUUCUAUCGAUCAAUAAUACUACAUGUAUACAAGAAUAAAAUACAUGGAUGAACUGAAGAAGAGGAAGCGAGAUUGAGAUGAAUUGAGAGAGAAGACGAAGGAGUCAAAUGUGAAGGGGGAGGAAGACGGGAGAAGACUGAGAAGAGAAAGAGAACAACGUUAGUUUUCGUUAACAUAGAAAACCUAAAGCUUUGCAUUUAAUGUAUAAUUUGCUGAUGUAGCCUAUCUAUAGCCUUUAGAUGUCUCAUCUACGGUUAUUAUUAAAAGCUGCCAAGUACGUUAAGAGUAACCAAGGAGAGAAUCUUAAUCCAUACACAUAUACAUCCGCCAAUUGUAGAAGCACUAGAAUUAUACCCGCGUCUUGGCGCGGUGUAUACAUUUACGGUGUGUUUGGAUAUGGGUGAAUUCCUGAGAAUUUAAUCAAACAUAAUGAAUUCUCAAUUUCUUAGGACGGUUUCCCUCGUUUGGAUACUUAUCCCAUGGAAUUAGCAAUUUUCACGGGAAAAUAAUCGUGAAAUUUAGGAGCUUAAAUUCCCGACUUGAAUUCCUCACAAAAUAAGCAUCAUUUGUCAAUUCCAUUAACUAAGGUUAGUCUGAAUACAAAUUCUUGUCAUUUUAAAACUCUACAUCAUGAAAUCUAAAUAAUGAAAUUCUUAAUUAAUAGAAUUUAAAUUCAUGGAAUUGUAAUUCUAAUGGUUUUAAAAUUUCUACGGACACAUUAUGAAAUUCAAAUAAUGAAAUUCUCAAUUAAUAGGAUUUAAAUUCAUGGAAUUGUAAUUCCCAUGAUUUUGAAAUUUNNNNNNNNNNNNNNNNNNNNUCCAUCUUGGAAGAAUAAAAUGUGCCGGUAUUGUUUCCAUAUCCAAACGUGAAAAUACCUUCAACAAGUGCCUACAAAGUAUUCCAACAAACUCAAAAUUUUGGCACUCACAAGAACCCUCAUAAGUCGUCAAAUCUAACUUCACCAUAAAAUCUUGCUCAUGUUCUCCGAGCCUUUUUUUCACCAAGUAUGAGUGCCAUUCAUUGUCAUGUUCCCUUUCUUCAACUUUAUAGUGAUUAAUUUGACUCCAUUGUGCCUUGAAUUUGUUGAAAAUAUUUCUGGUAUACAACUUUGAUGCAUCUUUCAGAAGGAAUUCAUCAUCAUUCACAAUUCGAAACUUGUGUUCUGACUCAAAGUCUUCCUCACUUUCAUUUUCUAUAAUCCUCUUCAAUGCUUGAUCAUAUCUAACCACAAACUCUCUAAGAUUUGUCGUUGAUGUAACAAACCCAUCAAAAAAAGAGUUAAUUCCCUCACUGCGUCCAGUAGUAUUCAUUCCUGCAAAGAAGGUUCCAUGAUGAUAAACCGGCACCCAAGAAGUACGUAUCUCAUAAAGAUUAUUUAACCAAUCAUUUUCUUCUAAUUCAUAUUCAGUCAUUAAAGUCUUCCAUUUAUCUUCAAAGUCUUCAGUCCUGUAUGUAAAUUGAAUACAUUUCUUCAUCUCCUUUUUGAAUUUUGAUUUCUUGUAGUACACAUGGGACAACUUCUCAACAAACUUCUUCUUGAUAUGCCAAAGGCAUAAGCGAUGGUGAGUGUUUGGAAAUAUCUUGGCAAUUGCUCCUUUCAUUGCCAAAUCUUGGUCAGUUAUAAUGGAAAUUGGAUGACGACCUCCCAUUGCUUGUAACCAUGUCUCAAAUAACCACAAAAAGUUAGUCUCUGUCUCAUCUUGUAGAAGUGCACAACCAAACUGUAUCGACUGCCAAUGGUGGUUCACUCCUGUGAAUGGCGCAAAAGGCAUAUCAUACUUGUUUGUCCUGUACGUUGUGUCGAAUGUGACCACGUCUCCAAAAUAUUCAUAGGCCAUGCGUGAUCGAGCGUCAACCCAAAAGAAAUUAGUUGCUCUUCCAUCUUCAUCGCAUUGGAUUGCAUAAAAAAAUCGGGGAUUUUCAGCUUGUUUUUUCUAAAGUAAGUGAGCAUUGACUGAGCAUCUCCUCCAUCCAGCUGUCUAUAACAAACAUUUCUUAAAUGAUUAUAACAAUCUCUUUUGUUAAAACCAAUUUGAGCACCACCAAGGAUUGAAUGAACGUUUGCAAUCGGCAAAUUUUCUUUAUGAAAUAUCUCUGUCAUACUCCUUGCUGCUUUAGGCAUAUGUUUAUUUGACUUCAUCUUCUUUCUUCUUACUGGAGUAACUACUUUGUGAUUGUGAAAGUCUCUAAAAACAGAUACCUUCCAUUUGUUUGACCACUUGUCAUGAAUGAUCUGCAUACUAGCUUUGCACCCACAUUUCACAGUAGAACAAUUUCUACUCACUUUCUUUUUAUUCAUAUCGCUACCUUUCUCAGCAUGCUCAGUCCCAUUAGCAUCCUCGUUUCCGGUCUCAGUAUCAUUUUCACUAGUCUCUGUCUAAUUGUUUUGUUUCCACACCUCUUUUACGGUUUUCUUCCAGACAUAUUUUCCCUGAUGAGCACAAACGAAUUGGCAACUAGUCACCUCGUCUGAGCGGGAUCUUGUCCUUUUAGAAGAUUGUGUUCGAAUCCAAAAGCCUUCUUCCCGAUCGUAUUCUUCGUAAUAUUUUCUGGCUUCAUCUACUGUUUCAAAAAGCAUUCCUACAUAUGGUGCUUCCACUUGUUCAAUUUCAACUCUUCUAAUUGGAGUACUCGUUGCAUGGUUCUCUACUUGAGGUGUGUCUGUAACCUGUAUAUAACAAUAAUCAUGCUUACCAUUAUCAUUCAUUCAUGCUACGUACAUAUAGAAUCCACGUAUCUAGGAUAAAACAAAGGUUAUGAUGCGUAGAUAUUAUAAAAAUAGAUGAACUCAUGAAGAAAUUUACAAUUAUUGAACAUGAAAGCCAAACAUAUGACAUNNNNNNNNNNNNNNNNNNNNNNNNNNNNNNNNNNNNNNNNNNNNNNNNNNNNNNNNNNNNNNNNNNNNNNNNNNNNNNNNNNNNNNNNNNNNNNNNNNNNNNNNNNNNNNNNNNNNNNNNNNNNNNNNNNNNNNNNNNNNNNNNNNNNNNNNNNNNNNNNNNNNNNNNNNNNNNNNNNNNNNNNNNNNNNNNNNNNNNNNNNNNNNNNNNNNNNNNNNNNNNNNNNNNNNNNNNNNNNNNNNNNNNNNNNNNNNNNNNNNNNNNNNNNNNNNNNNNNNNNNNNNNNNNNNNNNNNNNNNNNNNNNNNNNNNNNNNNNNNNNNGAAAAAANAAAAAAAAAAAAAGAGGCAACGUACUGGUGAUCUGCAUUGAGAGUUUGAUGGAUCUUGUAUAUGCUCAGUCAUCUUAAUGGAGCUAGGAAAUAGGUGAGAAAGAGGAAUGAAUCAAAAGAUCGACUAAAACUCAAUUACUGUAAUUAUAAGUGUGUGUGGCUGUGCACUAUUCUUUUCUUCUUCUUCAUCUUCGUUGGCGCACUAUUAUUUUCUUCUUUCUUAGGUUGUUUCUUCUUCUUCUACGUUUUCUUGAAACUGAUCGAGCAUGUCACAUCCCGACCCUUAUAUUUUUUUACCUUAUUUACUAGCUUGAUUAUAAUAAGAAUUUUACCGUCCCUGUCAUUGAGGUAAUAGUUUAAAUGGUCCCUAGAGAUAUUUUAAGGGACGAUUAAUUUCGGGGAAUUAUUCGUGGGAGGAAAUAUGACGACGGUAAAAAUGGUAAAUUUUAGCUAGUAAAAGGUAAUUUUUAUUCGGGUAUUAUUUUUCGGGGUUUUUUAUAUUUUUGGAUUUGGGUUGUCUAAAAGGAUGGACCGGUUUGGGGUGUGAGGCCCAAACCCAGUUUUUUUUCUUCUUUCUUUUUCUUCCUCUUUUCUUCCCGGUUUCCUCCCGAGCCUCUCCCCCGCCGGAAACUUCUCGCCGUCCGUACGCCGCCGUCCGGCCACCAUCUGCCGCCGCUCCGGUCCCGUUCGGUUGCCCUCCGACCCAGCUACCGUUCUAGACCGGUGACAGCCCCCCUAGCGCCGCCGUGAGAGAGCGGUGCCGCCCGAAAGUUUAGACUGCCAAGAACUUCCAGUCGUCGGAACUCCCUCCUCCGGCCACCAAAACCGGCGAUCCUUGGCUCGUUUUGUAGCCCUCCUCCCGUGCAGCAACCCCUCUAAUCGGCUCACUCCCUCUUGAGCUAGGUAAGGAGAAAUAUGGAGUUAAAUUUUCUAGGGCUUUUAGGAUGUUUUCAUUCGAUUAGCCUAGUUAGGCUUGGAAUUGGGUGAUGUGCUGGUUAUGAAAGUUGUAGAGCGUGAUGAGGAGAUUAUUCUGUCAAAAUUUCAUAGGUUUUGUAGGUCGCCGGAAUUGGCCUCCGGCCGCCGCCAGUUAAGAGAUUUUUAGGGUUUUAAGUGUGGAAUAUUAAGAGGAGUAUAUUGAUGUGAUUUAUGGAAUUUUUGGAUGAGAUUCGGAUAGGUUUGUGAAUUUCCGAAGUUUGGUAUUUUUUGCGGUUAAUUAAUGUAGAAUCCGGCCGUAGGAUUUAAGUCGUAUUUUGGGGAGGUUGUAUUUAUGACUGUUGAGUAUGAUAUUUAAGUUCGGAUCGUUCCGAUUUAAGAAUAUCGAAGUUAGGCAAUGAUGAGCGUAUUUAUGGCUCUCGGGUAAUUUUGCCUAUUUUGAUUAAAUAUUGGAUUAUUGGUUGGGAAAUUAAUAUUAUAUUUGGAACAGGACGUGAGGAGGCUCGAGCAGACGAGGCCCCAGAUCGACAUCAGGCUUAGGCCUAAUUUGUGAGUGGACGUUUCUUUUAAAUAAAUGCAUGCUAUAGUUCAUGGUUGAACAAUUAAUGUUGCGGAAUAUUUUAACGUCAUUUUUAUUUCUCUUGGAGAGUUACCGAAAAUGGGAUUUUUGGUGGAUAUAAAUAUGUAUUUAUGAGAGAGUAUGUAUAUAAAUGCUAGCUAGCCAUAUGUGUCUGUCCACCUUAAUGGCGUAGCAUAUAGCCGCAUUAUGGUGUGACGUGAGCGUUGGACGUGAGCGUAGUAGCCCUAUAUGAGUGUUUAAUUCACAUAGGGGGUAUGGACACAUAUUUAUACACCCGUCUGUCCACCUUGAUGGCGUAGUGUAGCACCGCAUUAAGGCGUGACGUGAGCGUUGGACGCGAGCGUAGUAGCCCUAUAUAGACCCAUGAAUUUAUAUAGGGAGUAUGGACGAGUGUAAAUACAUACAUAUAUUAUAGAGUCUGAGAGGCUCGAUAUUUUAUGAGAUAAAAGUUUUAUCGCUUGCGGCAUGCAUUCGAUUUUUCAUUAGAAAUUAAUUUGGGGAAACAUAAAUAUUUUAAUUAUUAUUUUAUUUUUGUCCACUCACUCUAACGUUAUUAAAUGUUUUCCCUGGGCCUUUCGUUUUAAAUUGCCCAGUCUGCAGAGUUCGGGUUGGAUCUAGUAGGAGGCGAGGCAUAGUCACCCGUAUUUCCGCCAGUUUUCAUCAGUAGGUUACUUGUUUAACCUACUAGUGUUUUCUUGCUUCCGCUAGUGUUUAGUAGCUCUGAAUACUUUGGGAUUAUUGUAUAUUAUGUUUAGAAUUUCUGAAGGAUAAUUAUAUGAUGUUUGGACGUGUUGUAUUAAGAGUGUAAUUUGGAAUUUCGAGUUAGUGUUGUCCAUUUUCAAGGGAGAUUUUCUCAAUCUUUUCAGUAAAUUUUCCUUGGAGGUGGUCCCCGCACGACUUACUCUGGGUUUCAGGGUGAAAUUCGGGGUGGGUCGUGUCAGAGCAAGUAGUUGAAUUUGGGUAGGAAAACAAUUGAAAGAUUUGAUCCUUUAAUUGUAUUAAGAUCGUACUUACCAUUGAGUUUUCAUUAUUAAAUUGAUUUUGAUAAUCAAUGUUUCAAUCGGCAGAUGUGUACGUAUUAUGGGUUUAUUUGGUAAGGACAUCGAUAACCAUCACAUGAUAAUUAUCUGUGGUUUAAUUAGGAAUAAUUAAAAGUAAAAGAGAGAUAAAUACAAGCAUUAAUAGAUAAUUAUCUUAUAGAUAUUAUAUAUUUAUUUUAUUAGAAAGGUUUAAUGACUUGUGUUUAAUCUCACCCGUCUAUUGUUAUUAAGUUUGACAGACAAGAUCUGGAGUAUAAUUGUAACUAUAAAUUAGGUUGCCACGGAUCCGCUCCGAAAUAUAAAUGCUCUAAUUAUUUUGAUUUGUAAAAUUCAGGAUAUAGAAGAAAAGUAAAAAAUAGAGGGCAAAAAAAUCUUUACCGAGAAAGAGCCUAUUUAAAAAUAUCUAAAUUACAUGUUUUAGAAAAAAAAGAAAAAAAAACAAAUAAAAAAAAAAAAAAUAAAAAAUAAAAAAUAAAAAAAAAAAAAAAAAAAAACUUUUAACACUGUUCAUAUGCUGAUGAUAUGAACAGUUAACCAUGGUUUAGUAUAAAGUAUAAGUAUAAUAAUAGGCUUUAAUCGGGUCAAGUAUAGACAACAAUAAAUGGUCAGGUCAAGGAUAUCAUCUUAAAUCCUUGACAACAAGUAAAAGAGAUUGAAGUUUGACUUGAAGGUUUAGCAUGCAGAUCAUUUUGUAACAAAGAACUAACUAUAUACCGUUUAAUCUUUUAUGCAUGAGAAACUUCGUUUUCAACGGGGAGGUCUAUGUUUGAACUUUGAAGAGCUUAAAAUAAGGUAAAUAGCUUGAAUAUACUCUCCUUUCUUGGCAUGCAAAAGACUAUAGUACAUAGAUGAUAGAUUGUAAGUUUUUGUUCUUGACUCCUAAUAGAGUCCAAGGCCCAGAAAAAAGAAACCUGGCCUAUAAGACCAUUACAAGACAUCUUUGACCAUAAACAAGGCCAGGGAUACCAGUUUUACCACUGAAAUCUAAAUUUGGUUCUUCUAGCACACAUGCCAAAUUCCCAAUAUAAUUUCACAAAAUUGUAUUUUUUCACAAAUUUUGUUGAAGAAAUAAGAUAAAAUUAUCGUGUGCGCUAUAGGUUUGCAGGCACUUAAGAUGUGGAUAUAUCAUUCCUAUACGACUAUACCGGAGACGUGGGAUUCCUAAGCCUAUGGGUUUUUUUUUUAGAAAUAGGCAAUUUUAUUAACUUAUCUACGGUCAGAAAACGUUUAUAUCAAUUUGUCUAUUACCAAAAGUCUAAUUGGCAACAAACACUAACAAAGAGACAAGUAACUCACUAUUCUGAAGAGGAAAAGCAAAAGAUUGCUCGGUGUCUCUUCAAUGACUUUAGAGUUAAGAGUCUAAAUUAUAGUCCAGUACUCUAAUAAAAAUGUAACAUAAUCAAAAGUGAAGUAACCAAAACCUAAAUUGUAUAGUGUAGUAGGUUGAGACUAUAGUCGGAUCGAAUUCAAGUGGCCAUAAUUAGAGUCGGAAUAAAAUGGUCGAGAUAUGGCUUAAGUUUGAGUUGGGUCAAUGUCGAAAAUGAGGAUACGAUGUAGAUGAAAUGAACAUUUCAUACACCUUUUUUAUAGUGUAUGGAAAUGGAAUAGGAAUCAUCAUCGUUACUAUUGUUUUGUUUUGUUUGGUUCACACUAUGGAAUUGUUAUAGUUGAUCAACUGUCACAUUUCAUUCCAUUCUAUUUCUUUCAUGGCAUAUAAACUCAGGUUUCGAAAAGGUGACUAAUGUAGGAUAAGGUACGUGACGGUUAAUCCAGAUGGAGAAGAAUUAUUGCUUCCCUUGCUAUCUAAUUUGGCUAGAUGGAGAACAAGGGUUAUGGUCCCUCUGGAGGUACGUACUUAAUUUGGUUUUGUAACUGAGCCUAGCUAGGAACCCGAAACUUUUCUCUACCCAAAGUAGAAUAUUAAGAUCCUAACAGAGAAUUUUACACCGGUAUUUGCACAAAACAAAUGAAAUGAAAUGGAAGACAAAAACAAUAACAAAGAUCAAAAGACAAGCAAAACCCGCAAUUUGAUGGUAAAAAACCCUGGUCUUGGAACCAUGAUUUUCCCCACCUCAGUCGUCUCUGCAUCUGUAAGCAAAUGAAGCUCAUCAAACACCAUGAUCAUGAGGAUUAGGAGAACGGUCAAAGCUCCAGUUGCUGACCAUCUAGGGUUUCGCAUACAGUUUAUUUUGAAGAGUCAAAGGUUCCCUAUUCCCAGUAACAGUCCUCACUGUCCUCGCACCAGGACCCAAGUUUUCUGCAGCUAGCAACUGGCAUAUAUUAUACAGUAUGUACAUUUUUAACUCCAUUCAUUCCUUUCCCUGGCUCUCUCUGAUUGAUAAUGUACUAUAGAAUAUCUGAUCGACUAGAUUAGACUAUUGUGAAUGAGUGGAUGGCAACUUUGAAUAUAAGAUAGGUAUACAGAGAAGAGGAGCGUCUUCUUCUUCUUCAUCUUCGAUCAAUCGAUCAUCUUUCUCAUGCUCUCGAUCGAACACUGACCAGACUUAGCUGGGUUGUUUAAUCAGUGGGAGUCGUGGUCCAGCCUUUUCUCACGUGAAGACGCUCCUCCUCUUCUUCUUCUUCCCCUACUACAAUUAUAAUCUACAUUCACGUGUGUUAUCAUGCAUACCUUGAUCAAGUUUUUUAUUUUUUCUUUUGCUUAGCUUCCCCAUUGUGGCCCGAACCAAAACCCUACCUUCGAUCACUCUCUUCCAAAUCGCUUGCUAGUUACAAACACUGGUGGGACUGCUACAUGUUUGCUAUGUGUUUCGAUUGUGAAUCUGUACGUGAUGGGAUGGGUGGAUUCAAUGGCAGAAGUGUGUGAAGUCAUUAACUUGCUAGUUACUCUAUCUUUGUUAGCAUAUAUUUACUUCUUCUCUUAUGUAAAAGAACAACGACAAAAAAGGAGACAGCCGAUUAUCUUCACUAGCUAGCUCACUGCUAGUAAUUUGUUUCAUAUCACAAAGCUUAGACCAAGAUCCUAAAUAUUAUCAUUCCUAAAGAGAAUUCAUUUUGAAGAGACAUUAGAUGUGUGAUGUUUUGAAACUAUAUAUGAACCAGUCUACUCCAACAAUCAUAUUCAGGACAAGAAAACGAUUACCCUAGCCUUCAAUUCUGAUGGGAUUAAGCAUGAACACUCUUCCCAAACCGACACAAUUGAUGCAUAUUAGGACAAAUUUCACGCCAAUGACACCAUUCAUGUGUGCGUACGCGUAUUGUAUAAUUAGUGUUAUAUUCAUCUGGUUACAAACCAUAUUCCACAUCUCAGAUCGACUCUUAUGAAUCCAAAAACAAUGACUAAUGAGAGGUCAAGACAAACAAAGCAUUUCUAAUCUGUGUCAUUAAUUAGGCAGUGAGAUUAGCAACACGUACUGCCAUCUUUUCUAGGGUAAUAUACUAAUUAUCCUACAUUGAGUUGUAUAAGAUGGGCAUUAAACCAAUUCUAUUCACAGAGACCAGAUUUUGGAUCUUGCGUCCCUUGUCAUUUUUAAUUUGGAUCUUACCUUGUUUAAUUUCCCUCCAAAGAAUACAUGACUACCAUUACACUCCCUACAGUUGUAAAAGAAUAAUUCACUUUAUUUUGGUCCUACUCCCAUUGUUGCCUAACUAAUCAAUUCAAUUUUAGGCCGGGUUACAUGACAAAAUAUAUGAAUUCUCUGUUUGGUGUUGGUCUGACAUUACUCGACUCUCAUUCUCAAUGGUGCAUCACAAACCUAAUUUUCCAAAACCUUUAUCUGAAGCUUUCUGGUGCAUCAAAAUUUAAUUAAGGGUUAAAGCUUAAAGAUAAACAAAACCCAAUUGUUUAAAGUCAGAUACGUUUGCAGAGAAAGAUGCAUAUAUUAGUAUCCUAGGUGUGGUGAUUAGUUAAGAGUAUCGUUAAACAAAAAGGAACAAAAAGUAAGGAAAAGAUGAAAGUUUAUUAAAAAUGUUUUCAUCAUCUUUGACAGUCAUAUGUAUAAUACAAGUAUAUGUACGUUUAUAAAUCGAAUUGAGUAGCAAGCAAGUUUAGGCUCAAUAUUGAGUCAAGCUCAGUUCAUUAAUUUAUGUUACGAGCCGAACAAGCUAAAAACGAGUUGAACACGAACGAUUCGAGCUGACUUACAACCCUACAUAUAUAACAAAAAUUUGCUCUAGCUUACUACGAAGACAAUAAUCAUUUUAUGUGGAUGGAAAACAAACCAUGAAAAUGUUCACAAUUUAAUUAAUUAGUAUUCACUCUCGUGCGUACUACAUACAUAAAGUACAAAUGUUAUUACUUUUUUCCUUUUUCUUUGAAUGAAUUGGGAAUGUGUGUUGUACCAUGACAAUAAUUUGGUAUAAGAUUGCACAAGAAAGGUAGACAAUCAUUCGAGUUGGUACAAACAAGUAAAGUACAAGGAUUAAGGUAAACAAGGGGGGAAAAAGAACAAAGAGCAAGCUUCCAAUUACCAUCUCUAAAAUGUUAGCUCAAUAAAUGAAAAUGAAAAAAACUUACAUGCUUAACUUGGUUUUCAUUAUUUGGGAUCUACAAGGUAUAAGCUUAACUUCAAUCCUAAAAACCAACAUGCAUUCUGUCAUCCUCCAGCCCCUUUGGACCCUCCUCCCCUCAAAGAAAAUAAUAUAGAGAAGAGUUGUUGGUGAUGAUGAACCUUAGGACCAAAAGUCCCAAUGAGAUCAUUUUAAUCAGAUGGGACAAAACUCUCUAUCCUACAGCUGUCCAAUAUUAUAGGGUACCCCAAUGAAAGAAUAGUAUCUAUAGUACGCAUGUCAUUUUAUAUGUAAGGAUUCAUUGAUCAUAAUCAUCAUAUACGAUCAUAUGGUAUAAAAUGUUAAUAAGCAAACAUAUGAGACCGCGGUGAUAUAGUAGAGUAUACUAGAAUUACUGAUGUUUUGUAUACAAUGUGACGUGAUAUUACAAGUUUUUAACUCGCCCGGAAAAAAAAUUAGUAAUAAUAGAAAAUAAUAUCAUUGCGAUAUAAAUUAUUAACUGAAUUAUUAUUAUCAUAUACAACACAUAAUGAGAUAUAUACAAAAAAAAUAACUUACUUUAAAUUUAAAAGAAGUAACUUAGAUAAGAUUGUCAUUGACUUUCGAGUUUGAGAUAUGUAUUAGUUAAAUGUCAUCGGUUUGAGAUAUGAGCUACACCCCCUCUUCUUUUGAUGUCAUCUGUUUUGGUUCGUCGGUGUCUUGUUUUUUAUUUUUUAUUUUUUAUUUUUAUUAACAUGUGCUAAACUUUAACAAAUUCAUCACAAGACAAAGGAUAUUGGCACAAGUGUAUCACACUCUUGGACACAAAUUUACAAGAUCAUUUUGCUAUUAGUUUCCAAAAUUUGUAGAUUUUAUUGGAUUACGAUUAGGUUUCCAAAAUUUUAGUUGGUUGUUUUGCUAGUAUAUCAUGUACGUACGGCAUGUAUAGGAGUACGUACUCCUUACUCCUAACUCUACACAGACACUUCUCCCUUAACUACUAUUUUAACUUCCCAUGCCACAUCUAUAUCUCCUCCAACUCAUCCGCUCGUUUUGGCGGCACCAAAACCGCCACUUACCUUCACACACACUCCCCACAUUCACUCUCUUACCCCCCUCUUCCUCUCUUUUAAGAUUUCACACAAUCACAGCACCGUGGAUAUAGCAGUUGUGUUUAAUGCUGCCAAUGAAUAUUGAGCGCUCGUCAUUGUUUUGACAUUUUUGUUUUUGAUUCUUUCCCCUAUCAUUGUGAUAGAUGUUCAGAGAGACUGAGGAGAAUAAUGGAGGGCUCUGAGUUCUCUAGCCUUCUCUGCCAAGAAGACGAGACUUGCUUGAUCAAUCAAGUGGAAGAUGAUGAAGAAUCAGAAGACAGUGCGAUUGGUUUCUACCCUUUUUUUGUUUCUGAAAAUGAAGAUGAGUAUGUUGAGAACUUGUUUCUGAAGGAGAGUUAUUGCUUUGGAUCCAAGGGAUUUGUACCCUUUAGCCAUUGCUCUGCCACAACCUGGUUCAAAGCUGCUCGCUUGGAUUCUAUUGAUUGGAUUUUCAAUGCAUGUUCCUCUUCUGAAUCUCUCUUCUUAGUUUUCGAUUCUUUUCUUCCCUUUCCGAUCGUUCUUUGUUUCAAUUCAGUUUCUGAAAGUUACGUUGAUUUACUAUUUUGAUUCAGGCCAGGGCAGAAUUUGGUUUCCGGUUGCAAACAGCAUAUUUGUCGAUCACAUACUAUGAUCGGUUCCUAUCAAAGCGAUCCAUUGAUGUAAGCCGUUAUUCUGAUGUACUGAACAAAGGGUACUUGAUGGUUACCUGAUCUGAGUUUAUAUUUGGUGCCAUUGAUUUUGUAUAGGAUGGGAAACUGUGGGCUUUUAGAUUACUAUCAGUGGCAUGUUUAUCCUUGGCGGCGAAGAUGGAAGAAAUCAAAGUACCAUCUUUGUCACAAUUUCAGGUUCAAGAUUACGAUUUUGAAAGCAGAACCAUUCAGAGAAUGGAGCUAUUGGUGUUAAGUACAUUGGAAUGGAAGUUGGGUUCAAUCACUCCUUUUGCUUAUUUGCCUAACUUCAUCAAUAAAUUCUGUUGUGAAAGUGAAUCCAGACCAAAAGGACUUCUCUCUGGUGCUAUAAGCCUCAUUGUGGCAAUGACUAAAGGUAAUCAAUGAUAUGUAAACAUUGAUGGUGAUGAUAGUCCUAAUCUAAUCUAAUCUAAUGAAUGUACAUUUGCUUUUUAUCCUAAUCAGUUUGCUUUCUUUAAUUGCAGAGAUUGAGUUAACAGAUACUCGGCCAUCUAUUAUUGCAGGAGCUGCAAUAUUAGCACUAGUUGAUGGUCAAUUAACUAGAAAUCUUCUGGACCUUAAGAUGAGCUCGAUAUCAUUCUGGCAUUCCGAAGAUUAUGUGAGUAUGCUAGUUACUUCUAUUUGUUCAUUGAGAUUAUCGUUUGAGGACUUAAACGUAGAUAACGAACUGAUGAUUCAUUUCAACUGAUUUCAAUCUUACAUUGGCCUUGCAACAGGAUCAUAUAUAUUCCUGUUACAAUCUUGUGCAGGAAAUUGUGGAAAGGAAAGAUAAGACACCAUCCAAGUUUUCACUCUCUUCCCCUAAUGUGUUACCAACACAAGCAAGCACAAUUGAUGUGCUUGAAAACUCAGGGGGAACAAAGAGAAGGCUUACCUUCAGUGACUCUGAUGACCUCAUCAGUUGCCCAACAAAGAAAAUUCACAUGCCAUAGUUAGCAGGGUUUGUUUUUUCUGCAGAAAAAAGAUUGAUUUGUGUUCAUUGAUUAGAUUAUAGAGUUCUUUACAAAUGAGAAAUGAUUCUUGAUAUUAGGUGGGUUUAUAGGUCUAAUAGUGUUAUAUUUACCAAUUUAUGGUAUCUAUAAUGUGCAUUUUGAUGAUUGGGGUUCCAAUUUCCAAUACCAAACUAAAGUUUUCAGUUGGUGAGUGGUGACAACUGACAACCAAGAGGAUAGAGAAAAGGGAAAGUAAAUAAAUAAAAGAGGAUGAGAACUACUUUAGCCUAUAGGAAGAAGUAAGAAGCUGACUGAAGUCCAAAGCCACUGAGAAGGGGGAUGAGUUUGAACGAAAAUUAUACAGCGCACCUGAAAAUUAUACAGCGCACCUGGGUGCGCCGCAUACCCGUCCAUCUCCGUCGUCCAUUUUAAAAAAGUCAAAAUCCGCGUCUAAUGGACGAUGGAGAUGGACGGGUGCGCGGCGUACCCGGGUGCGCUGAAUACGCUCUCGAGUUUGAAGGCCAAGAGAGUUUGCUUCAAGGCCAUUGAUGACACUUUUUCUAUAAGUGAUCUUUAGUAGUAUUUUGCUUUCAAAUAAAUGCUGCUAUAUUGCUUGCCCACUUCCUUUUUCAAUUUGGUGUAUUUUUCUCCUUGUUGUUAUUAUUUAAUUAUGUCUAUGUUUCAUGAAAGAAAACAUUUAUUGAUGUACUUAUUCAUCACUUGCAACCCUACUUUUUAUGGGGGGCUUGGGAUGCUUCCUAUCUGUCUUUCAAAAGGCUGAAAGCCAUGAGGGAAUGAAGAAUUGUUUUUGUUUGAUUUGAUAUAUCUGUGUUGCAUUUGGGGCCAUAUUGGAAAGUAUAUACAGCUGAGUGUGAUUAUCUUUGCUGGGAAUGUUAUGUUUACCCUUUUUAUGAGUGGGAAACUUCUUUCAUGAAUAGGAAACACUUCCCUUCCACUAUUAAGGUUGCGUUUUGGUGAGGACUCGAAGAGGUGUAUCCCUUUGGUGAUCAUAAACUCAUUGCUCGAUUCACAUUUACUUGAUCCGAAGGAGUCUAGCCUCACUCGAUAUGUCAUUGGCUUGUUAAGUAACUCAAUAGGUCCAUAUAUUUUGUUCUUUUAUUUGGUAUUGACGAAUACUUCAACAAAAUAGAAGAUUUAGAAAUGAAAAUCUUUUUAGUACAAGUACUACAUCAUUAAAAAAAAAAAAUGGAACUCUUGUUGCAGAUACAAGGAUAAAUACUCCACACCAGAACCGAAGGCUCCCACAAAUGCUGAAUGCUCCAUUGAUACUUGAAUAAAGGGCUAGGCUUGUAGGUUAUGAGUUGCUCCAUUAUGAAUAAUAGAUUGCAAUUGCAGAUUAAUCAAGUGGGGACUAGUAGCAAUUUCCUAAACACACACACAUAAAACGCAUCUGCUGCUGAUAUUUCUGGGUACUAUUUCACUGAUAUCUGUAGGUCCCAAAUGGAGCAUCAUCAUGAACAUAGUGACCCUUCAUUUUUGGGGUGGGGCGGUGGAAUUGGGGCAUGAGUUUCAUGGCAAAGGGUGUCAGAAGGCUCCACUCAUACACAUGCCUUCUUAGGGUUCUUAGGCUAGUCUGGCACAUACCACCAUUGCAUUGUAUUCUAGCCUGAACUAGUAACCAAUCGUUCCAGAAUAUUGAAUAUGAAUAUGAAAUUAUGAACAUGUUAUACAGUAGAAUGUGUAAGUAUUUUUCUUUUCUUUCUCAGAUGCCAAAAGACCCACUCUUAACUGCUCCCUGGUCGUAAAGCUAUAAAGAUUAUUGUACAUACAAAGGCUGGUGGAUGAUGCACUGGGACAGAGUCACAGACUCAUCAAGCUCUCAGGUACAAGAAGAAAACCAACAUGAUCCGUCAAAGUAGAUGGCUAGGACUGGUUCUGUCUAUUAUUGUUUUCCAUUUUAGUACUUCCAUUUAAUCUUAUGUUGAAUCCAGUUCUGCUUCACCCAGUAAUUAUAAGCUUUCAGUUUAGUCUAGAGCAGAAUCAUUGUCUAUGUGGGAUUUAGGGAUUAACCUAACUUUUAUUUUCAGGCUGUUAUUUUAUUAAGAUGGUUGAUGAUACAUGUUGUGUUGUGAAUAUGUAAAUACACAUUCCAUCUUUGCAGGAAUGCAGUAUAGGAUGCUCUGAGAUCUUUGAGGACCACACUUUACAUCUACAUCAUACAGAUAGGUAAUGUUGGUUUAUGCAAUAAAACAACAUCUCACUUCUUUUAAGGGAAAAUGACCUAAAGGGUGGGUGAAAAAAGUAAAAAAGAAAAAUGUUGGACAUAACCAUUUGGAGAGCAGAGGGAACAAAAGUUACUUUCACCUUGGUAGGAGACUAGGAUGGCAUAUCAUUAACCAGUGUUUGGUAUAAAAUGUUAUAUGGGAUUGUCUUAAGAAAUUUCCUUUUCAUGCUUAGUCCAUCAUCCCUAAUGUUAAUUUGAUGCAACACAUAGCAAACCAGCUGAACCCAAUUAGUAUUCCAUCACCCUAUUGCCCCAUCCAAGGGCACAGGCUCCUUGACCCCAAGGAUUGGAGUGUUAGUGCCUCAUAAAGCAUUAGCAUGAGUUGGAACUCUACAACUCAUUUUUAUGGUCACCUUAUAGCUGGUUUUUAAUCAAUGAUGCACAUAACUUUGCUAACACAAGGAGCCCAGUGAGUUUUGACUGUUUGGAGCUCAAAAAUGACCAGGAUGAAUUAGCAGAAGAAUGAAGAGGGAAGUUUCUAUAGACUUUGAGGAUUUGAUCAACAUCGAAACCCCAAAGCUUUGCAAAAUUUGAAAGCAUAUACAGUCACCCCUAAACACCCUAUCCUAUCGAAGAAGGGGGUAAUUUGCCAUGGCCCAUCCAACAAAAUAUGGUAUCCAACUAAAUUUUGGUAUCAUAUUUCGUAUAUGAAUAAGUCAUCUCCCCCUUAUCAUCUAAGAUUUGAGCGGUCAGCCGCUCAUAGUUGGUUUGCUUAUGUUCUGCUAAAAAGAAAAAUUACAAUGUUGCAAUAAUUUUAUUUUUCUUUUUCAUUUUAAUUCUUUUAAGAUGGGUGUAGUGGUCAGACUUUAAUAAAUUGUACUUGUCAGAAAUGGUUUUUAUAUCUGACCAGGUGAAAGAGGCCUAACAGUAAGUAACUCCGGCCCAAACGUCUGUACAAAUUUUCAAGCCCCUUAAUUGCAACGCCAAAAAACUACAUUUGGAAUUGCAAACUUACCUAUACAAGGCCCAUACAAUCUGUAAUCGUCUUCGUUUUCUCACGCUCACUCUUUUUGGCGGCAAAGUUAAUUCUUUCUACAUGGUUGACACUUGACACAAUUGAUCAGCUUAGUCCAAGAGUCAGGCACAUUAUAUUCUCUCAUUACCCAGAAAACAACACAGCCAUAAGGAUCCCCCCAAUGGCCGCACACACACAGGCAUCCCUCAGAAACACCAACAUGGCCGAAGCGUACACCAUGUUGGUCAAAAUCAGGGCAGACACAUUGUUUUAAACUCCUCCUGUGCUAAAUCGAAAGCAAGGAUUUCAUCAGGGUAUGAGUUUAGCCAAAGAAGUACCUCAUUCAAAAGAGUGCCCUGAUUACAGUAAGAGGGCCUGACUGUAAUGGCUAGAGUGUGGGAUUGUUUUCCAAACGUGAGCUCUCAAGGAGAAUAUCUCCAUCUCUUCUAUCCGUUCAGCCCUGUCAAAUGAGGUUGCGAAAACCUUGCUGAGACAACACGUGGGCUUGUUAAUUUCUUGAAGAAUCCAAGCGAUGGGUUCCAGAUAUAAUAGAAUUUCCAAUCAACAGAUACAAGGAGCCCAGUAAGUGGACAUAAUCGCCCGGUAAAGGGAGAGUGAGCUUUCGAGCGGAGGAAGGGUUUCCAAACGACGGCGUAUCAGCAUCAACACGGGCAGUCUGGAGAAGAUGUCGAGUACAAUCUCUUCGGUAGGUCUUGUGUUUCCGCCAUUGCAAUGUGAGAGCAAGACCAGCCUGCGCAGAGAAGAGUGAAUCAAACUAGAGAUGAGAAGAGAGUCGAAGACCCAAGAGUCAUAUAUGUUUGUUUUUAAAGGUGGACCGACCAGCCUGCGCAGGCCCAACGCGCAUAGGUUUCGCCUAGCCCGCCUAGGCGACCCACAAUAGAAAGUUAGUGUCGUAAAGUAACGCAACAUGUCGUUCAAUUCACUUCUGACCUUUUGAUAUGGAGCUCUAGUCUGCAUUUUGUACAAGUCUCCAUCCCCAUUCUCCGAAUGCUCUUCUUGUUAAUCGAGUCAGUUCUCAGGCGAUUACAUUAGCUAACCAUGUGAUUCUCCUUAACAAAGAAAAACUAUAGAGUAAGCCUAACCUUAGUCGAAUGUCAGUUUCAUGUUUGCUUCAGCUUACAGAUUUUAAAAGUUACAAAACAAGCAAUUAGAACUUGAAUGCACAGAACAACCAGUGAUUUCAGGCUCGUCACUGGCAUUCUCUUUCGUAUCGAAAAACUGAAUCCUGUCAUUAUUGUCAAACACAGUUGAUUAACAGAAUCCUGCUUUAUAAAGCUUAUUUGACAAGCAAGAGUUCCAGUUACACCAACACAUAAUACAAUCAUACAUUUCUCUUCGCACAACAUAAAGCGUUAAUCAAACAAAAUGAAUAUAACUUGGGCACAACUUAUCAUUGUCAAGCUAGACUUGGAACAAUAUAAAUCCGUCCGAGGUCUCAGCCAUCGGACAUAGAUACAUUAGCGCUGCUACAGAUCUUACUGAAAUUUUGACAAAACCUCAUCAAGUCAUUGUAACUAAAUGUGCAACCUUUUCAUCAGGUCCACACCACUACUAGAAUGAAGCCUUCGUAUAUCCCGGAACCCCUACAAAAUCCAAGAAAUAACAGAUUCAAUAAUCAGUCAAAGAAUCCAUUAAAACCAAUUACUAGGUACUCACAUACAAGUUUCAAGGAUCCAACAAUGAAAUUCAGUUUUCAGUAGUCUCUAGGCUUAACCAAAACCCUCAAAUAAAUUCCAUAAGAUUGACUGUUUAGAUCAAUGCAGCAAAGUAUUAAGAAGAAUUUCUGAAGCAUUCACCAGAAAAGUAAGUGACUAACCAUGGAUCAAUAGAAUGCAAAACAUUCCUUCAAUUUCUGCUUUGUGACGCCUUGUGAGCGGUUUCAAGUAUCGGGACCUGCUCUGUCUCUUUUACCGACUGAUAACCACUGAUCCAAAGUAGACUCUCUUCAUAUUCAAUCAAAGAACACUGACGCCCCUCAAGUAUAUAACGCCAACGCUUGUUGUCUUCUUUAUGAUCAAUCCUUAACAACUCGUACCCCCCUGCAGUCCAAUUCCUGGAAACUAUACUACUUUCCAAAACCAAGACUUCUGUCGGCAUCAAGGCCUUUAGCUCAGAUAACUCUAACCUAAACUGCAUAGUCCAUGAGUCACUCACCUCAUAUUCUUUCAUGACCCACAAUUCCAUAUAGUCCCAAGCACCCUUGGGAAAACGCGACACACAAAGGCAACCUGCACACACCCCAAUAUGGCAGAAAUAACUAUUACUAUCAUCAUUAGGGAGCUGCACUGUCCGGAACUCCUCCUCUGUCAAGCGAAAACAAACCAAUUCAUCCUCGGAGGAUAGCCAAUGAAGUGCAUCGUUGGAAAGAAUCCCCAGUCCAUCGAGCUCAAAAUUGGAGCCAGGGGAUUCAAUCCUCUUCCAAAUGUGAGUUCUGAGUGAGAACAUCUCGACCUCAUACUCCCACUCACCGACAUCAUCACUAUAGUGACAGGAGACUUCCAAAACUCUGUAGUCAUCACAAAAAUAGGCCGCGCCAUAAGAGCGUAGGAUAUAUCUAUCUGAGGAAAAACCUGGGUCAGGUAAUUGUUUGAGGAAUCCAAGUGAUGGGUUCCAGAUAUAGAACAAUCUCUGAUGACAAGUUAGAAAUACCAGACCACUGCAGGAGCCCAGAAACUUGACAUGAUGAUGGAUUGGUUGCUGCAGCGAAGGGAGAGUGAGGUUUCUAACGGAGGCUCCAAACGACGGCGUAUCAGCCAAGGGUAGGGAUUGGAGUUGAGGGGCGUCGGUGGAGACGAGGAGCUGCUUUGAGUUGAGAUUGGGCGAAUUUGGGAUCGGAGAGUAUAAUGAAAUGCAGGCGUUUCGAAACGGAGGUGAACCGGAUUAAGGAUUUCACGGGCAAUCUGGAGAAGAUGUUAGAGUAUUAUUUCUUCCGGUAGGUCUUGUGUUUCCGCCAUUGCGGCGGUUAAAGCUGAGCGGAAGAGAGUGAGAGACUGGAUAUUCCUUCCUCACCUUUUCAUUAAUUUAUCCCUCUAAUUUUUUUUAUCAUGUAAAUUACAACUGCGUGUGAGUUGAACUCACAACCUCACAUUUACUAAAUAUGAGACCAUGUCAUUAGACUAAAUAGUACUGACUACUGAGCAUCCUUUUAAAAAAGAAAAGAGAGGAAAAACGUCAUCAAAUUGAUAAUUGUUUUGUUUUUUAUGAAAAAUCUUUGACACAGUGUAAACUAAGAGAGUCAAAAUAAUAAACCCGGAGAGUAGCCGAAGGAAGAGUCCAACCAAUAUCCUGCAUCCAUGAAAUGACCAAGAGAUCCUAAAGCAUUAGCCACAAAAUUAACCUCCCUCCAAAUAUGAGUGAACUCAAUAUGCUGGAACUGGGCAACCAUAAUCUUGAUAUUAGAGGUGGACAUAAAAAACCGUAAUCUUGAACCCGUCCCGGUCCUGUCCUGAAAUUUGACGGGAUGAGACGAGAUUUAAAUCUUAAAACGUCAGGUUCGUCCUGUCCCAUUUGAAUAAAACGGGAUGAGACACGGAACUGAUAAUUCAAAUCCCGUUUAAGCCCAUCUCGUCCUGAUUAUUUUAUUAAUCAAUUUUUAUUGAUUAAAAUGUCAUUUAAGUCUUUCAUUUUGAGUAUUUAGAUCUCAGCCCUUUCUUUCUUUAGCUUAAUAAGGAUAUACUAAACAUGAAAGUUAGUGAAUUCUGGACUCUGGAGUCCAACGUCAUCAGAGACAUAAUCCCAUAACAUCCAUUUUCAAAUGUGGUAAGCUUGGAUUAAGCUUGGAUUUUAGAAAAGAAAAGAGAGGAAAAACGUCAUCAAAUUGAUAAUUGUUUUGUUUUUUUAUGAAAAGUCUUUGACACAGUGUAAACUAAGAGAGUCAAAAUAAUAAGCCUGAAGAGUAGCCGAAGGAAGAGUCCAACCAAUAUCAUGCAUCCAUGAAAUGACCAAGAGAUGCUAAAGCAUUAACUACAAAAUUAGCCUCCCUCCAAAUAUGCUGGAACUGGGCAACCAUAAUCUUGAUAUUAGAGGUGAGCAUAAAAAACCGUAAUCUUGAACCCGUCUUGGUCCUGUCCUGAAAUUUGACGGGAUGAGACGAGAUUUAAAUCUUAAAACGUCAGGCCCGUCCCGUCCUAUUUGAGUAAAACAGGACGAGACAUGGAACUGAUAAUUCAAAUCCCGUUUAGGCCCAUCUCGUCCUGAUUAUUUUAUUAAUCAAUUUUUAUUAAUUAAAAUGUCAUUUGAGUCUUUCAUUUUGAGUAUUUAAAUCUCAGCCCUUUUUUUCUUGGGCCAAUUACAUAUAAGUCCACUUUGAGACAUUUUUUCCCACAUAGAUCCACCCCAACAUUUUUACCCACAUAAGUCCACCCAAGUCUAAAUAAAGUUUUGUAUUAAGUAUUAAAGUUCAACAUAAUUACAGACUGCCAUCCAACAAAAAAAAUUAGAUUUUCUCCUUUAUAUUUACAAGAAUGCCACUAGUAUAAAAAGUUAACAACCACUCUCAUUUCGGAACAGUCUCCGGCGGACCUCCGGCGAGAUUUCCAGCGGACCUCCGGCGAGGUUUCCGGCCGACCUCCGGCGAGAUUUCCGACUGACCUCCGGCGAGGUUUCCGGCCGACCUCCGACGAUGACAAAAAUUACUACUACCAGCUAAAAAAGACUACUACCACCAGCUAUAAAAGCUACUACCACCGCCUACAAAAGCUACUACAAAAGUUUCCGGCCGACCUCCGACGAGAUUUCCGACCAACCUCCGGCGAGGUUUCCGGCCGACCUCCGACGAUCACAAAAAUUACUACUACAAGCUAAAAAAGCUACUACCACCAGCUAUAAAAGCUACUACCACCGCCUACAAAAGCUACUACUGUGAGGUUUCUGAUGAAAACAAAAACUACUACCACCAGCCACAAAAACUACUACCACAAGCUACAAAAGCUACUACCACCGCCUACAAAAGCUACUACUGUGAGGUUUUCGACGAACACAAAAACUACUNNNNNNNNNNNNNNNNNNNNNNNNNNNNNNNNNNNNNNNNNNNNNNNNNNNNNNNNNNNNNNNNNNNNNNNNNNNNNNNNNNNNNNNNNNNNNNNNNNNNNNNNNNNNNNNNNNNNNNNNNNNNNNNNNNNNNNNNNNNNNNNNNNNNNNNNNNNNNNNNNNNNNNNNNNNNNNNNNNNNNNNNNNNNNNNNNNNNNNNNNNNNNNNNNNNNNNNNNNNNNNNNNNNNNNNNNNNNNNNNNNNNNNNNNNNNNNNNNNNNNNNNNNNNNNNNNNNNNNNNNNNNNNNNNNNNNNNNNNNNNNNNNNNNNNNNNNNNNNNNNNNNNNNNNNNNNNNNNNNNNNNNNNNNNNNNNNNNNNNNNNNNNNNNNNNNNNNNNUACUACCACCAGCCACAAAAGCUACUACCACCAUCUACAAAAACUAUUACCACCGCCUACAAAAGCUACUACGUCCAUUGAUUCAUCAAAUUCCACAACUAAAUUAGCAGUCAGUGAUGCGUGAUCAAGAUUGAACAAGAAUAGAAAUGAAUCGGAAUACUCACAAAACCAUAGCCCUUGGAUCGGCCAGUGUCCUUGUCAGAAAUGACAACCGCCUCAAGGCGGUGGAUCCUCGAUAGAUCUGCACCUCACCGACGAAUCACCUUCGUCGUCACCGUCUCGAACUCAUAGGAGAAGGUGCGGAGAAGAAGAUGACGAGGCUGAUCGGAGAAGGUGCGGCCAGUGAUGACGGGGCUGAUCAGAGGAUCGGAAAAGGUAGAGGUAGGUCCACACACACUGGGGAGAUCUACUAAGGCGCAUAAAUCUCUGCUUCCAACGGCGGCGGGCGCCGAACAAGUGGUGGAUGACGUCGUCGGAGUUGGUUGGACCUUGUAGAUCCGGCUGCGCGUUGAGGAGAUGCAGUCGAGGUCGAAGCGGAGGUCGUCGAGGANNNNNNNNNNNNNNNNNNNNGAUUUAGCCUUAAAAGUGGACUUAUAUGAGUAAAACUGUUAUGGUGGACUUAUGUAGGAGAAAAUGUUCAGAAUGUGACUUAUAUGAAAUUUUCUAUUCUUUCUUUAGCUUAAUAAGGAUAUACUAAACAUGAAAGUCAAUGAAUUCUGGACUCUGGAGUUCAACGUCACCAGAGACAUAAUCCCAUAACAUCCAUUUUCAAAUGUGGGAAGCUUGGAUUGAAGGUUGAAAUCUCCUUGCUGAAUCAACUUGAAUAGUACGAGCUAGCUAGCUACUUGGAAAUUUAACAAAUAUAACCACAAUACCAAAAGCUUGGAAAUUACCAUCUGUGUUAAAUAUAGUUGUACAUACUGCUGCAUAUUGGAUUUACACAGUUAUGUGUUAGACUUGUGGUUCCAAAAGAGAUGAGCACCAACUAGCACAGUAAGAAAAAUGAGCCAAGCUUUAGUUUAUACACCCUCUGUGGUACAGAGAAAUUUGUUACAAGAAUACAAGUAUUUGUUUAUACUUAUUAGAGUAGAGAGCAGUAUAAUUAAAACUAUAAACCGUUUCUUUUGCUUAUAAGUAGGUUUUCAACAUUUUUAUCUAGGAUUAGGCCCGUCCUGUUCCGGCCGGGAUUAAGCCUGGUUGGGACGAAAUUCGUCCCAUCCUAAUUUUAAUGUCUGGAAUAAGCCGCGAGAUUAGCUCAAUCCCGUCCCACCUCAUCCAUGCCCAACCCUGCUUGAUAUCAUAAACUAAAGUUUUGAUUCUUCAUGAGGAGGGUUGCUAUUUUACUGUUGAUGCAAUCAAUUAAAUCUUUGAGUCUCUCUCAACCUUGAUCUUUAAAUGGUUAUGCAGCAAGGCUCUAAGGCCGAAAGCUUCAAUAACUAGAACAUUAGAAUGUCCACGAUGUUUUUUAGAAACUUGCAGAUGUUUGAGUGUCCCAUCAAAAUUUAAUUUAAUGAAAUCAUGUGGUGGUGGUUUCCGACGUAUAAUAGUUGAGCAACGAAUUAAUAACUGUUGUUCUUUACUCACAUUAUUUUCUUUUGAGAAUAAAUACCGCAUGCUCGGAGGCUCAAUCUAACCCAAAAUUCUUGUUAUUAGAAAUAUUUGUGCUACGAAUCAAUCAGGGGAUCAUGAUGCCUAAAUGGCGCCAUUUAGAAUCUUUGUAAAUGCCUAAACAUUUGCAAAUAUUUGUACUUCAACGACAUAAAAUAUAUUAAUUAUAAUUGCACCAACACAUAACACAAUAAUCUCACUCGUCUUCGUACAAUAUAAAACAUCAAUCAAACAAGAGAAAUAUAACAUUGUCCCAACUUAUCAUUGUCGUAACAUAAAACAAAAAAGCAAAUACCAGUCUCAGACUCAGCCAUUGAACAUAGAUACAUUAGCUGGCUGCUAAGGAUACUAAACUGAAAUGUUAAGAAAUCUCAGAAUCAAUGCAUCCUUUUCAUCAGGUCUACACAACUCCAUAGUGAAGCCAUCAAAUUUGUACACCGAAACCCCUACAAAAUCCAAGAGAUAACACAAAUCAAUGAUCAGUCAUAGAAACCAUCAAGGAAGAACUCUGCUUUAGGAGCAGUGCAACUGAGAUACAUUACGAAAUAAGAAUAUAUAUAAAUCAAAUAGUUAAAAAAUCAAUUCCCUACAUACGAAAUUAAGAACGACUGAAGCUGCAUUAAGACCAUUGCCUGGACAGAAAUAUCAAGAACAUGUAGCAGACAGCAAAUAAUUGCAUGAAUCUUCCAAGCUCUUCGCAAUCACGCCAAAAAAAAAACUGCUUGGAAACUAAACCAGCAUUAUCAUGUGUAAAUGACUUAUGUUCCAUCAAUUAUCUAGGAUAUACCAAGUAGCCACAUCACAAAGGCAAAUGUAUCCCCAAGAAAUGAUAUUUUUCUUCUUUCCAGAUAAAUGUGAAAACUCAAAAACUCUUCCAGAAUAUCAGUUCCACCCUGAAUGCGAAAUUCAGCAGAUAAAUAAUCUUCAAAAGGAAAGACCAUAACGAAUGCCACCUAUUAAGUAUAAUAGAUAGAGGUAAAACCAUCAUGAAUAUUCAGUUAUAACGAAGCAAAGAUAUCUAGUACCUAGUCCAAUGAAAUGGGAACACCAAAGAUACUUGUACCUUAUAUGCUUUCUAAGUGUCAACUAACAAUUGUAAAUUGAUCUAUUAGAUAGUCGACUCUCUCAUCUCUAGCAACCACACAUAAACCAAUCCUCCAACCAAUUCUUAAGAUUAACUGUAAUCAUUGUGGAGUGAUGAGUGAAAUAAUCUAGGCAGCUAUUCAAGCAUUAAGCAUCCAUAUAUGGCAUAAGAGAAGGGUACAAGGAACUCAAACAGGUUCACAACCACUUUCGACUUCUAAAUGCAUGGUAUAAGAUAAGUAGAAAAUAAACAAACAGUUUUCAAAUGCAUCAACAGAGUCAAAAAUGUGGAGAAAGCGACUAACCAUCGAUCAUUUAAAUAUAAAGAGCAACCAUUCCUUCCAUUUCAGCUUUGUGAGGCCUUGUGAUGGGUUUCAAGUACCUGCUCUGUAUGUUCUACUGGAUGAUAACAACUGAUCCAAAGUAGACUCUCUUCAUAUUCAACCAUACACAUCAAAAUCCCCUUAAGCAUAUACUGGUCAACCUUCCGGUUUUCUUUAUGAUCAAUCCUUAUCAACUGGCACCCCUCGACACUCCAAUUCACAGCAAAUGUACUACUUUCCACAACCAAUAAUUUCCUCCCAAACGCGCGCCACACAGGCGGAUCAGGUACCUUUAAGCAAAAGAGCAUAGUCCACGAGUCACUCACACCAUAUUCCCUCAUGACCCACAAAUCAACAGAGUCACAAACACCCUCCGCAUAACGCGACACAAACAGGCACCCUUCACACACCCCAAGACUGCGGAUACUCUUACCAUCAUUGUUGAAAUCGGGCAGCCACAUUCCCCGAAACUCCUUUGCUGCCAAGUCAAAACAAACUAUUUCUUGCUCGUCGUCGUAAAAAUUUAGCCAAUGAAGGGCAUCGUUCACAAGAGUCCCCUGACAAUAGGGUUCAACAUUGAAGCCAACAGAAGACUCGAUCCUCUCCCAAGUGUGAGUUCUCAAUGAGAACAUCUCGACUAUACUAGACAUGUCCUCAGUGAUAUCUAGCUGUAACUCCGUAAAGUCGUAGGAGGCUACCAACACUGUGUAGUCAUCGGUGGCGGAUAAAUAGCCCACACCAUAAAAGACAUUUGACUCUGACUCUCUAUUUGAUAAGGAAACAUAUGAUUCGGGUAAUUUCUUGACGAAUCCAAGUGAUGGGUUCCAGACAUAAUAGAAUUUCUUAUCAACAGAUAGAAAUACCAGACCAUUGCAGGAGCCCAGUAAUUGGACAUAACCGCCCGGUUGGUGCAGGAAAGGGAGAGUGAGCUUUCUAACGGAGUAAGGGUCUCCAAACGACGGCGUAUCAGCAUCCAGGGGUAGCGAUUCCAGUUGUGGGGCGUCGGUGGAGACCAGGAGUCUGCGGCUGAGACGAGGAGCUGCUUUGAGUUGUGAUUGGGCGAAUUUGGGAUCGGAGAGUAUAAUGAAAUGCAGACGUUUAGAAACGGAGGUGAAUCGGAUCAAGGACUUGACGGGGAGUCUGGAAAAGAUGUUUAGUAUGAUCUCUUCGGGUAGGUCUUCUGUUUCCGCCAUUGCAACGGUUAGAGAUGAGCGGACGAGAGUGAGAGAGACUAUGAGAGACUGACUCAACUAUAAGUCCGAUGUGCCCCUUCCUCGCCUUUUGUUGCUCUGUCCCAGACUCCCAAUCCCAUUUGGUCUAAUGCUAUGAGUCAGGAUAAGUGGAAGAUCAACAAAAAAUAUUAUCAAACAUGGUAAAUUAACAGAAUAAAAUUGAUCAAUCAUAGAGCUUACUAGCAAGCAAGUCAAGAGGUUCCAAAUUUAACACUUUAACGGCAUGAAAUGCAUAAAUCAUAGUCGCAUUAACGCAUAACAAAAUAAUCUACAAUCCUCUUCGCACAAUAUAAAAUGUCAAUCAAACAAGAGAAACAUAACAAUGUCACAACUUAUCAUUGUCGUAACCUAAAACAAAAGAACAAAUUUCAGUCUCAGCCAUUGAACAUAGAUACAUUAGCUGGCUGCUAAGGAUCCUAAACUGAAAUUUUGAGAAAUCUCAGAACCAAUGCAUCCUUUCCAUCAGGUCCACACCACUACAUAAUGAAGCCACCAAUUUGUACACCUGGAAACCCCUACAAAAUCCAAGAAAUAACACAAAUCAAUUAUCAGUCAUAGAAACCAAUUAGUCCAUGACCAUCAAGGAAGAACUCUGUCUUUAGGAGCAGUGCACCUGAGAUAAAUUUACAAAAAAAAAAAAAAAAUUACAAAUAUUUAAACAAUUAAUUCCCUUACAUAACAACAUAACAUAAUAAAUUAAUACGAAUGACUGAAGCUGCAUGAAGACCAGAGCAAGAACAGAAAUAUCAAGAAACAUGAAGGUGGCAGCAAAUAGUUGCACGAAAUCUUCCAACCUCUUCACAAUCACCCAGAUAUAAAAGAAAAUUAAAAAAACUUCUGCUUUGGAAACUAAGCAUCAUCAUGAGUAAAUUGGCUUAUGUUCCAUAUACUAUCUAGGCUCUACCAAUCAAAUUUAUGCCCUAGAAAUGAUUCUUUCUUCUUUUCAGAUAAAUGUGAAAACUCAAAAACUCCCCAAGAACAAAUCGUUCAUGCCUCUUCCAUUCUUCCUAUAUAUCAGUUCACCCUAAAUGCGAAAUUCAACAAAUAAAUAAUCUUCAAAAGGUAAGACCAUAAUGAAUAGAGAAAAAGCCAUCACAAAUACUCAGUUAUAAAGAAGCAAAGAUAUCUAGUACGUCCUCUAAGUGAAACGGGAACACCAAUCCUAUGCUGAUCGAGAGAGAUACUUGUACCUUAUAUAAUUAUAUGCCUUCUGAGUGUCAACUAACAACUGCACAUUGAUCUAUUAGAUAGUCGACUCACUCAUCUCUAGCGACCAGACAUAAACCAAUCCUAUUUCACUUAAAGUCAAUUACCUCUCGAUCAGCAUAGGAUUGGUGUUCCCAUUUCACUUAGAGUCGACUAUCUAAUUGGUACUUGUACCUUAUAUAGUUAUAUGCCUACUAAGUGUCAACCAACAAUUGUACAUUGAUCAAUUAAAUAGUCCACUCUCUCAUCUCUAGCAACCGACAUAAACCAAGACCUCCAAUCAAAUCUUAAGAUUAACUGUUUAAAUCAAUGCAGAGUGAUGAGCAAAAUAAACUGGCUUGCUAUUCAAGCAUUAAGCAUUCAUGUAUGGCAUAAGAGAAGGUUACAAGGAACUCAACAGGUUCACAACCACUUUCAAGACUUCUAAAUGCAUGGUAUAAGAUAAGCAGAAAACAUCCAAACAGUUUUAUUAUGCAUGAACACAGAGUCAAAAUGAGGAGAAAGUGACCAACCAUGGAUCAUUUGAAUCAAAUGAGCAAACAUUCCUUCCCUUUCAGCUUUGUGAGGCCUUGUGAUGGGUUUCGAGUAUUAGGACCUGCUCUGUCUCUUCUACUGGAUGAUUACCACUGAUCCCAAGUAGACUCUCUUCAUAUUCUACCAUAGAAAUCUGAUUCCCUCUAGCAUAUACUGGCCAACCUUCUGGCCUACUUUAUGAUCAAUCUUUGUCAACUCGAACCCCUCUUCAGUCAGUUUCGAAGCAACUGUACUACUUUCCACAACCAUUAAUUUUCUCGAAUUAUAGGGCCAGUUUAUUAUGCCCCACUCAGGCGGAUCAGAUAGUUUUGAACUAAAGAGCAUAGUCCACGAGUCACUCACACCAUAUUCCCUCAUGACCCAGAAAUCAACAGAAUAACAAACACCCAAAGGAUAACGCAAUACACAAAGGCACCCUUCAUACAAACCAAGAUAGCAGAACAUGUUACCAUCAUGACCGAAAUCAGGCAGCGGAAUUCUCCGGAACUCCUUUACAGCCAAGUCAAAACAAACUAUUUGCUUGUUUAGCCAAUGAAGAGCUUCGUUCAAAAGAGUCCCCUGAGAACUGACAAUGAAUCCAAUAUCGAAAGAGUCCCCUGCGGCUUCAAGCCUCUCCCAAAUGUGAGUUGUCAGCGAGAACAUCUCGACCUUUACCUUACAAUCAACAAGGUCCAAGUAGGCUAUAAAAAGUUUAUAGUCAUCAGUAGCGGAUAAAUAUCCCACACCACAAUAGACGAUUUCUAAGUUUCCAUGUAAUAUGGAAAAACCAGGGUCUGGUAAUUUCUUAAAGAAUCGAGUCGAUGGGUUCCAGACGUAAAAGAAGUCCGCGUAAAAGGUUAGAAAUACCAGACCAUUGCAGGAGCCCAGUAACAGCAGAUACUCGCCCUUCGGGGAAGGGAGAGUGAACUUUCUAACGGAGGAAGGGUCUCCAAACGACGGCGUAUCAGCAGCCAAGGGUAGGGAUGACAGUUGAGGGGCGUCGGUGUAGACGAGGAGUCUGCGGCUUUGGGUUCUCUGCCGAAGAGCUGCUUUGAGUUGAAAUUUGGCGAAUUUGGGAUCGGAGAGUAUGAUGAAGUGCAGACGUUUCGAAACGGAGGUGAAUCGGAUCAAGGACUUGACAGGGAGUCUGGAAAAGAUGUUUAGUAUGAUCUCUUCGGGAAGCUCUUGUGUUUCCGUCAUUGCGACGGUGAGAGCUGAGCGGACGAGAGUGAGACACUGACUCAGGUCACUCAACUAUGAGAUGCCCUUCCUCGUCCCUUUUUUUUUUUUGGAAUGACUUCCUCACCUAUUGUUUGCUUUGUCCAUUCUCCACCGCUAAGUUUAUGAAUUCUUUAUUUCAUCUUUAUUAUUUUAUGAAAUUUGUGUGAUUUAUUGAUUAUAAACUUGGGUUUUGUUUGAUAGGGUUAGAUCAUAAAUCAAUCUAGUUCGAUUCCUUAACCGUCACUUAUUUAACUGAAAUUUGUAUAACUAGUCUAUCCUAAAAACAAAACGGUUAAGACGACAAAAUAUGAUAAAAAAAUGUGUACAAUAAACUUUUAAUGAAAAAGUCUUUAUUAGUCCUCAACUUAAUAAAUUGUUUGAGCUUAUGUGAGGGUCAUUUUUUAGUUAAACAUUGACUAAGCCUAAAAUCAACUCAAAUCUGAUUAGUGGGAGGAUUUUGUAUGUGAUUCAAAACGAAAGAAACUUGAUAGUGUGAAGCACGGUGUGGCCAUGUGGGAGCUAAAAACGCAAUGCGGUGAGUCAAUUUGAGGGUAUGAGUUUAGAAGGGUGUUUUGGAGGAUGGCUGAUCUAGGAGUAUCUAUGUGUUCCUGCUUGACUGUUCUGCAAACUAGAAAAUAUUUGAAUACCGAACAAGCCAAUAUUGUCAAACACAGUAGAUUAACAGUAUAAAAUUGAUCAUUCAUAAAGCAUACUAGACAAGCAAGUUAAAAGGUUCAAGAUUUAAACACUUCAAUGACAUGAAAUAUAUAAAUCAUAGUCGCAUCAAGGUAUGAGAAAGAUAAUCUACACUCCUCUUCGCACAAUAUAAAACAUCAAUCAGACAAGAGAAACAUAACAUGACACAACUUAUCAUUGUCGUAACAUAAAACAAAAGAACAAAUAUCAGUCUCAGCCAUUGAAUAGCAUUAGCUGGAUGCUAAAGAUCCUAAACUGAAAUUUUGAGAAAUCUCAGAACCAAUGCAUCCUUUCCAUCAGGUCCACACCACUACAUAAUGAAGCCAACAAUUUGUACAUCUGGAAACCCCUACAAAAUCCAAGAAGAAACAUAAAUCAAUUAUCAGUCCUAGAAACCAAUUAGUCCAUGACCAUCAAGGAAUAACUCUGAAUUUAGGAGCAGGGCAACUGAGAUAAAUUACAAAAAAUAAAAAUUUCAAUUGUUUAAACAAUUAAUUCCCUUGCAAAACAACAUAACAAGAAUGACUGAAGCUGCGUGAAGACCAAAGCGAGAAGGGGAAAUAACAAGAAAAUGAAGUUGUCAGCAAAUAAUUGCAUGAAAUCUUCCAACCUCUUCGCAACCACCCAAAACUUCUGCUUGGAAACUAAACCGGCAUCAUCAUGAGUAAAUUGGCUUAUGUUCCAUAUACUAUCUAAGCUCUAUCUAUCAAAAAUAUCCCCUAGAAAUGAUUUUUUUUCUUCUUUUCAGAUAAAUGUCAGAACUCAAAAACUCUUCAAGAACAAACUGGUCAUGCAUCUUCCAAAAUAUCAGUUCACCCUGAAUGUGAAAUUCAACAGCUAAAUUAUCUUCAAAAGGUAAGAGCAAAACGAAUGCCACCUAUUAAGUCUAAGAACAUAACGAAUGCCACCUAUUAAGUAUAAUAGAUAGAGAACUCAAAAAAUCUUCAAGAACAAACUGGUCAUGCAUCUUCCAAAAUAUCAGUUCACCCUGAAUGCGAAAUUCAACAGCUAAAUAAUCUUCAAAAGGUAUGAACAAAACAAAUGCCACCUAUUAAGUAUAAUAGAAAACCAUCACAAAUUUAGUUAUGAAGAAGCUAAGUUAUCUAGUAGUACUCUAAGUCAAAUGGGAACACCAAUCCUAUGCUGAUCAAGAGAGAUACUUGUACCGUAUAUGCCUUCUAAGUGUCAUCUAACAAUUGUACAAUGAUCUGUUAGAGAGUCGACUCUCUCAUCUCUAGCAACCACACAUAAACCAAAACCUCCAAUCAAUUCUUAAGAUUAACAGUUUAGAUCAAUGCAGAGUGAUGACAAAAUAAAUUGGCCAGGUAUUCAAGCAUUGAGCAACCAUAUAUGGCACAAGAGAAGAGUAGACGGAACUCAACAGGUUCACAAAUACUUUCGACUUCUAAAUGCUUGGUAUUAGAUAAGCAGAAAACAAACAAACAGUUUUAUCAUGCAUGAAUCAGAGUCAAAAUGAGGAAAAAGUGACUAACCAUCGCAUACUAAGAGCAGAGAUUCCUUCGAUUUCAGCUUUGUGAGGCCUUGUGAUGGGUUUCGAGUAUCUGAACCUGCUCUUUCUCUUCUGCUGGAUGAUAACCACUGAUACCAAGUAGACUCUCUUCAUGUUCAACAAUAGAAACGUAACGCCCCUUAAUCAUAUAGUGGCCAACAUUCUGGUCUGCUUUAUGAUCAAUCCUCAUCAACUCGAACCCCUCGUCACUCCAAUUCACAGCAACUGUAUUACUUCCCACAACCAAUAAUCUUCUCGCAAAGCUAAGGCACUCAGGCGGAUUGGAUACCUUUAAGCUAUAGAGCAUAGUCCACGAGUCACUCACCCCAUAUUCCCUCAUAACCCACAAAUCAAUGGAGUCAAAAACACCCUCCGGAUGACGCGACACACACAGGCACCCUCCACACACCCCAAGUUUGCAGAAGCUCUUACCAUCAUUGUCGAAAUCAGGCAGCCACAUCCUCCGGAACUCCUUCACAGCCAAGUUAAAACAAAGUAUUUCAUGCUUGUCGUAGCUAUUUAGCCAAUGAAGUGUAUCGUUGAAUGGAGUCCCCUCAAACUGGAAUCCAAUGUUGGAGUAGGAACCGCAUUCAAUCUUUUCCCAGAUGUGAGUUCUCAAUGAGAACAUCUCAACCUCAUACGCCAUUACACGUAAGUCACAGCAGGCUACCAAAACUCUAUAGUCAUCACCGGCGGAUAAAUAGCCCACACCAUAGGCUAGACGUCCGUUUCGACCAUAGGAACAAAAACAUGGGUCUGGUAAUUUCUUGAAGAAUCCAGUCGAUGGGUUCCAGAUAUAAUAGAAAUCCACAUUCAAAGUUAAAAAUACCAGACCGUUGCAGGAGCCCAGAAACUUGUCAUGAUCGGACGGUUGCUGCAGGAAAGGGAGAGGGAGCUUUCUAACGGAGGAGGGGGCUCCAAACGACGGCGUAUCAGCAUCCAAGGGUAGGGAUUCCAGUUGAGGGGGGUCGGUGAAGACGAGGAGUCUGCGGCUUUGGGUUUUCUGCUGACGAGCUACUUUGAGUUGCGAUUGGGCGAAUGUGGGAUCGGUGAGUAUAAUGAAAUGCAUGCGUUUCGAAACGGAGGUGAAUCGGAUUAAGGAUUUCACGGGCAAUCUGGACAAGAUGUUGAGUAUUAUCUCUUCUGGUAGGUCUUCUCUUUCCGCCAUUGCGGCGGUGAGAGCUGAGCGGAAGAGAGUGAGAGACAAUGGCGGAGCUAGAAAUUUUGACGUAGGAGGGCCAAAAGAUAAGGCGAGUAUUUUUUACCCUUCGAAAAUCUCUAUUUUGAGACUCUGAAAACUACAACAUAAUUAUUCAUAAUAUACCAGCUAAAUAAAGUACGUGAUCAAAAUCAGUUGUGUAUAAUAUUUUUGGGAAAAUACCUUAAUACCUAAAUAUUUGAAAACUAAAGCUCAUUCUAAUUAGUGUCUUAUCUUUGUGCCCAUUCCAAUGAUUCUUGAGAAAAAGACGUUAUUACUUUGUGUUUAAUUAAACCCACACAAUUUUUAUAUAUAUAACUCUCUCUCUCUCUCUCUCUCUCACGUCUCCGGCCGUCUCUACUGCUCCUCCUGCGGCCACAUCCAAGACCAUGACAAUUAUGUCAACGUCUACGGCGGCGUCUCCAGCACCUCCGGCCAGGGCAUCAACUACGACGCAAUGACGCCUCUCUCUCUCUCUCUUCCUCCUGGACGAAGCCUUAGCGCCGACGCCGACACCGACGCAGCCUCGAUGCUUCAAAGACGCCAACGCUUCCCGAUUUUGGCAAACGCCUUCAAUCGGAGCUUUCACUCCUCCGCUCCUUGUCUCUACUCCGCCAACAGCACCGCUCAGGUCUCCGAAUCUUCAAUUUCUGAUUCAUUUUGAUCGGUUUUUUAGAUUGAUUUGUGAAACUAAAAUCGGGAGUGUGUGAAAUUGGGGCGGGGGAGUUCACUGAGAUGGCGUGGGAGGGCAAAAUUAGGGCAGUUGAGGCCGUCGGAGUUAGGAAGCAACAGGUGGUGGAAUCUGAGCACUUGAUGCAAGCGUUAUUAGAGCAGAAGGAUGGUUUGGCCAGGAGAAUCUUCACCAUGGCUGGUCUGGACAACACUAGUGUUCUCCAUUGUUUAUUUCAGACUAUUCAUUUUGCAAUUUCAAAUUCAUUUGUUUGUAAAUGAGGGAUUGAACAUUGUGUUGUUGUGCUUAUAGGUGAUGGGUGGCACCAGUGGACCUAUAAUAGGCUCGCAUCUGGGAGGUCUGUGGACAAUGCACGACGGCAGAAGAAACAAAUGAAUGAUGAUUUUCAGCAAUUGUUCACAAAUAUUUAUUACCCCCUAGUAAACUAAAUUAUUAGGGAUCAAUAACUUAAUUUUUUAUUUGUAUUUCUUCUUUUUUAUUACAUUAAGCUGAAACAAGUUGAUUAUUAGGAAUAAAUAGCUGAUUAUUAAGGGUCAGUAACUGAUUAUUGGAAGUCAGUAACCAAGUUAUUGGGGUCAAUAACUGAUUAUUAGGGGUCAGUAACUAAUUAUUAGAGGUCAGUAAUCAAGUUAUUGGGGUCAGUAACGGAUUGGGGGUCAGUAACUGAUUAUUAUGGGUCAGUAACUGAUUAUUAGGGGUCGGUAACCAAGUUAUUGGGGGUCAGUAACCAAGUUAUUGGGGGUCAGUAACUGAUUAUUAAGGGUCAGUAACCGAGAUACCGGCGACCGGGGAAAUCCAGCAAUCAAAGUCCCGCGGCCGGUGACCGGAGUCCGGUGAGGUUCCGGCCAAUUAUUUUCUCUCUUCCACUUUCUCUCUCUAUGCAUGUUUAAGGGGUAAGGGUAAAAUAGUCUUAAAAUAAUAUGGUUUAUUAAGACUUUAGUAAAGAUUUGUGCAUUUAGGCAUAAAAAAUGUUACUUUAUAUUGAAAUGGGCUAAUGAAAAAGAUUGUCGUUCGAAUGAGAAAUGAGAGAUUUAAAUUAGUACUAAAUGGACAUUUUCCCAAUAUUUUAUAUAUUUAUGAAUAAAAUACUUCGACAUUUCUUAAUUUAGAAGUUUUUGUAAUAUCAGUACCGGUUAAUAUAAAAAAAAAAAGUACCAAUUAGGUAAUAUUGUAUUUAUUAUUGCUAGUAAUAGGAAAUUUUUAUUACUAUUGUAAUAGCAGGAAACAAAAACUAGAAUUUUGCUUCGCACUUCAUGAGCCAAAACUAUGAAAUCAUUACCAUGUGGGGGGUGCCAUGAAGCAAAAACUAGAGCUUUUUCUUCCUAAACUCAACAAUCAUACUCAUAUUAUACAAUAAAGUAGUAAUCAUACCCAUAUAUGACACUCUUUGGCCCUAUACUACCUCCGCCUAUGAGACUAUGAGAUGCCCUCCCUAGUCUUUUGUUUGAUUUAUUCCAUUUUCUUUCUCGUUAAAAUUGAUAUGUCACCAUACGUUGUCUUUUUAGUUUUUACGUUCAUUUAAUUAAGUUUAUGUUGCUUUUUACAGAAAAUUAAUACCUUAAUCACAAACUUUCUAAUGAUCAAUCAGUAGAUUAACAGAAUAAACACAGAUCGAUCAUAAAACAUUAAAACUUACUAAACAAGCAAGUCAAGAGGUUUCAGAUUUAAACACUUCAACGACCUGAAAUAUAUAAAGUAUAGUCACACAACUCACACCAAGUCACCAACACAUAUUCUCAAAAAAAAAAAAAAAAAAAAAAAAGAAACUCACACCAACACAUAACAAUUAUCUACAUUCAUCUUCACACAAUAUAAAACGUCAAUCAGGCAAGAGAAAAUCAGUCGCAACUUAUCAUAAAAAAAACAAAAAAAACAAAGUAUGUCAGUCAGUCUCACUGUCUCAGCCAUUGAACAUAGAUACAUACAAAGGUUGCUGCUAAGGAUCCUAAACCGACAUUUUGAGAAAUCACAGAACCAAUGCAUCCUUUUCAUCAGGUCCACACCACUACCGGAAUGAAACAAAUAUAUAGAAUCCCUCGUAACCAGUUUAUCCAUGACCAUCGAGGAAGAAUUCUGCUUUAGGAGCAGUGCAACUAGAUAAAAUACAAAACAACAAACACUAGUGUUUCUUUAAGUACUUAAAAGAAAUUAAUUUUAGUUAGGGGAACUUUUUUAGUGAAGACUAAGUUGAGAACUUUUUGGUUUAUGGUUUAAAAGACUUAUUUUUCAAUCACAUUUUGACAUCUCAUCCGUUCAGUUUUUAGGUUUAUAUGAGUAGAUCAUUUAUACAAAUUUUCAGCCAAAUUGCUGUUCGUUAAGAUAAGAAACUAGAUCAAAUUAAUGGACGAACCAAAUCUGACACGACCCGCCCCAAAUUUCACCUUGAAACCCAGAGUAAGUCGUGCGUGGACCACCUCCAAGGAAAAUUUACCGAAAAAUCGGUGUAACCUCCCUUGAAAAUGGACAACCCUUCCUAAUAAUACCUGCAAACACUUCUGAAAAUUUAAAUCCAACCUUAAACUCCUGGAGCCUCCGUGCUCCCCAAAACACAACACCACCCAAAAUAUUUACUAAUCUAAACAAAUCUUAUAUCCAACCAUUAUUAGGUUCAGAGCAACUCUAACAGGAAGAAAUGAAACAUNNNNNNNNNNNNNNNNNNNNCCACCUCCAAGGAAAAUUUACCGAAAAAUCGGUGUAACCUCCCUUGAAAAUGGACAACCCUUCCUAAUAAUACCUGCAAACACUUCUGAAAAUUUAAAUCCAACCUUAAACUCCUGGAGCCUCCGUGCUCCCCAAAAACACAACACCACCCAAAAUAUUUACUAAUCUAAACAAAUCUUAUAUCCAACCAUUAUUAGGUUCAGAGCAACUCUAACAGGAAGAAAUGAAACAUAAUAAAUUAACAAGCGGAAGCUAUAUGAUGACUAUGCCUCAUCCCCCAUGUACGCCCGACCUCAACUAUGCAAUCCUGCAAACUGGGCAUUUUUAAAACGAAGAGCCCAGGGGAAAACAUUUGAAACACGUUAGAGUGAGUGGACAAAAAUAAAUUAACGAAUAAAAUAUUUAUGUUUCCCCAAAUCAAUUUCCAAGGAAAAUCGAAUGCAUGCUGCAAGCGAUAAAACUUUUAUCUCAUAAAUAUCGAGCCUCUCAGGCUCUAUAAUAUAUGUAUGUAUUUACACACGUCCAUACUCCUUAUAUAAAUUCAUGGGUCUAUAUAGGGCUACUACGCUCGCGUCCAACGCUCACGUCACGCCUUAAUGCGGUGCUACACUACGCCAUUAAUGUGGACAGACGGGUGUAUAAAUAUGUGUCCAUACCCCCUAUAUGAAUUAAACACUCAUAUAAGGCUACUACGCUCACGUCCAAUGCUCACGUCACACCAUAAUGCGGCUAUAUGCUACGCCAUUAAGGUGGACAGACACAUAUGGCUAGCUAGCAUUUAUAUACAUACUCUCCUCAAUAUACAUAUUUAUACUCACCGAAAAAUCCCAUUUUUCGGUAACUCUCCAAGAGAAAUAAAAGUGUCAAAUUAAAUGACGUCAAAACUCCAACAAUUUAAAUGUUCGACCAUGAACCAUAGCAUGCAUAUUAUUUAAAACAAAAGUCCACUCACAACUCUAGGCAUAAGCCCGACGAAAUCCAAAUCGUCACUUCAGAGAGGUUUCCUCGAACCCUGGCACAAAUAUAAAAUUAAUUUCCCAACUAAAACUCCAAUAUUUAAACAAAAUAGGCAAAAUUAACCGAGAGCCAUAACUACGCUCAUCAUUACCUAACUUCGAUAUUCUUAAAUCGAAACGAUCCGAACUUAAAUAUCAUACUCGGUAGCCGUAAUUACAACCUCCCCAAAAAUACGACUUAAAUCCUACGGCCGGAUUCUACAUUAAUUAACCACCAAAAAUACCACACUUCGGAAAUUCAUAAACCUAUCCAAAACUCAUCCAAAAAUUCCAAUAUUUCAUAUCAAAAUACUCCUCUUAAUAUUCCACAUUUAAAACCACAAAAAUCUCCUACACAGCGGCGGCUCCGCCGGCAGUGGCGGCCGGAGGCCGAUUCCGGCGACCUCCAAUUUCUACCAAAUUUUAUAAGAAUAAUCCUCUCAUCAUGCUCUACAACUUUUUUAACUAGCACAACACCCAAUUCCAAGCCUAACUAGGUCAAUCGAGCAAAAACAUCAUAAAAGCCCUAGAAAAUUCAAUUCCACAUUUCUCCUUACCUAGCUCAAGGGAGGGGAAGACCUUUGGAGGGGUUGUUACACGGGAGGAGAGCUCUCUUUUGAGCCAAGCAGCUCCGGCUAUGGCGGCCGGAGGAGGGAGUUCCGGCGACGGAGGGGUUAACACAGUCGGAACUUUCGGGGAAGAUAACUCCUUCAUGGCGGAGCUAGGGCGGCUCUCACCGGCCUAGAAUGGAAGCUGGGUUGGAGGCCGGUCGUUUGGGACCGGUGCGGCAGUCUCCGACGGCCGGACGGCUGCGGACGAGCGGCCGGAAGUUCCGGCUGCGAGAAAACUCGGGGAUGAGAUCGGGAGGGAGAGAAGAAGAGAGAGGGAAAAGAAAUGGGGUGUUUGGGCCUCACACCCACCCGGUCCAACCCCAUAUAUCCACCCACUCCAAAAUAAAACACCUCGAAAAAAUAAUACCCGAAUAAAAAUUACCUUUUACUAGCUAAAAUUUACCAUUUUUACCGUCGUCGUAUUUUCCUCCUACGAAUAAUCCUCCGCACAUAAUCAUCCCCGAAACCCCUCUAGGGACCAAUUAAACUAUUACCUCAAUGACAGAGACGGUAAAAUUCUUAUUAUAAUCAAGCUAGUAAAUAAAGUAAAAAUUUAAGGGUCGGGAUGUGACAAAAUCUGUCAAAUAUGAAUCGUUCAAGUUCAUAAUUAAUAAAUUACACUUACGAAUGCAUUAACAAUUUUCAAUAUAGCUGAAAAUUUGGAGAAAUGAUCUACUUAUAAAUACCUAUAAACUAAACAGUUAAGAUGUAGAUAUAAGAUCGAAAGGUGGGAUAAACCGAAAAGUCCUCAACAAGUCCUAAACUUAAGGGUUCUCACUAGAAUGGCUCCCUUUUAGUUAGUACAUAAGUUUUAAAGAUAUACAAUCAUCAGCAUUCUUUUUGCUGACCCGAGAGAGAUACUGCUUAGGGGUGGGCAUGGGACGGGAUUGAGGUCAUCCCACGUCCCAUUCCGGUUGUUACACAUGGGACGGGAUCGGGACGGGCCUUACAUUUUUCAGACUCGAUCCCGCCGGGCCUAAUCCCGGAUGGGACGGGACGGGAUCGGGAUGGGACGGGCCCAAUCCCGGCCAUCCUGCAUCAGUAUCUUUUCUUCUAGAAAUCGUACAGUUACAUUUGAAAUUUCAUCUAGGUGUCUUCAUAAGAUUUGUAGUAGACAUCUUAAUGUCCAUUCCAGAAUUUGAAUCACUUGAAAAUGAUUUUCUCGAUUAAGUUAUGAUUUUUUUAAGUUUAGGGUCUGCAUCUAUAAAUUCUGCAUGUCAAUUCUGUGAUUCUGAACCAGUUGGCUUCUUUUCAAAAACUGUACAAAUUGGUUGGUUAUGUGAGUUUAGUGUUCUCAUGAAAGUUACAUAAGACAUCCUAAAGAUUAUUUGAGAGUUGGAAUCUCUCAAAAAUAAGUUUUCUACAAUUAGUUAUGAAUUUUGAAAGUUAGACGGGACGAGCCCAAUCCCAACCAUCCUGCAUCAGUUUUCGUUUCUUCUGGAAAUCAUACAGUUGCAUUUGAAACUUCAUCUUGGUGUCUUCAUAAGAUUUGUAGUAGACAUCUUAAGGUUCAUUCCAGAAUUUGAAUCACGUGAAAACUAUUUUUCUAGAUUAAGUUAUGGUUUCUUAAAGUUUAGGGUCUAUAUCAGUAAAUUCUGAGAUUUGAACCAGUUGGCUUCUUUUCGAAAACUGUACAAAUUGGUUCGUUAUAUGAGUUUAGUGUCUUCAUGAAAGUUAUAGAUGACAUCUUAAAGAUCAUUUGAGAGUUGGGAUCUCUCAAAAAUAAUUUUUCUACAAUUAGUUAUGAAUUUUAAAAGUUAGACGGGACGAGACGGGCCUGACAGGACUCAAAAUUUCAAUCCCGCGUCCCGUCCCAUUGUUUCUCUAAUGGGACGGGACGGGACGGGACCGGUGUUUUUAGUUUCAAAUCCCGCCGGGAUCGGGACGGGACCGGGAUUUACGGGAUUUGUGCCCAGCCCUAAUACUGCUUGUAGUCGUCCCUUAUAUAUGCCUUCACUAAGUGACUUAGCCUUCUCUAAGUGUCGUUAACAAUUACUUAGGUCUAUCAGAUAGUCGACUCCCUCAUCUCUAGCAACCACAGAUAAACCAAGACCUCCCACCAAUCCCAUAAGAUUCAUUGUUUAGAUCAAUGCAGAGUGAUGAGCAAGAUAAACCGGCAAGUCAAGCAUUAAGCAUCCAUGACAUAAGAGAAGGGUACAAGCUAGGAACUCAUCAACAGGUUCAACUUCUAAAUGCAUGGUAUAAAGUAAGCAGAAAAUAAACAAACUUACAUAUAUCAUUUGUCAACAAAGAGCAAAGAUUAUUCCUUCCAUUUCAGCUUUGUGAGACCUUCUGAUGGGUUUCAAGUAUCUGGACUUGCUCUUUCUCUUCUACCGGAAGAUAACCACUCAUCCAAAGUAGACUCUCUUCAUAUUCGAUCAUACCACGCUGUAGCACCUUCAAAACAUGCUGCCAAAUAUCGUUUUUGCUUAGUUUAUGAUCAGUCCUCAUUAACUUAAACCCUCUAGCAGUCGGAUUUGCGGCAACUUCUGAACUACAUUCAACACUCAAGAACUCUCUGAUACAUGAGGGCCGCUCCGGCAACUGAGUCAGUGGGUGGCGCUUUAAGCUAUAGAGCAUAGUCCACGAGUCACUGGAGUCAUAUUCUCUCAUGAUCCACAAAUGAACAGAGUUAGAACAAAAAUCUGAUACACACAGGCACCCUCCACAAACCCGGCCCCAAUCUUGGUACUAUUAUUGGUUAAAAUACCAAAAGGCAGUUCCAUCCUUCGGAACACCUCCUUUGCCAAGUCAAAACAAACUAGUUCAUAGUUAAUGAGGAAGUCAUCAUUUAUUAGCCAAUGAAGUACCUCACUAAAAAGAGUCCCCUGCUGAUCAAAGACGUCUGUAACAUCUGGAACAAUAUUGGAACUAUGGGAUUCAAUCCUCUCCCAAACGUGAGUUCUCAAUGAGAACAUAAAGAUCUCGUGUUUGUGGAUGUGAGUCGAGGCUACCAAAACUUUGUAGUCAUCCGUGGCCGAUAAAUAUCCCACACCGUAGACGUAGUAGUUUUGAUGUGAGGAAAAGCUUCGAUCAGGUAACUGCUUCAAGAGUCCGGUUGAUGGGUUGUAGAUAUAAAACAACUUCUCACCAACAGCUACAAAUACCAGACCAUUACAGGAGCCCAGUAGAUUGACAUGUGGUGGCUUUUUGACAGAGGAAGGCUCUUCAGACGGCGGCCUAUCCGAGGGUACGCGUAGGGGUUUAGGGGCGUUGGAGAGGAGUAUGCGGUUUAGGGUUUUCUGCCGACGAGCUGCUUUGAUUUGUGAUUCAGCAAAUUUGGGAUCUAAAAGUAUAAUGGAACGCAGACGUUUCGAAACGCAGGUGAAUCGGAUUAAGGACUUCACGGGCAAUCUAGAGAAGAUGUUAAGUAUAAUCUCUUCGGGUAGCUCUUCAGCCUCUUCUUUGUGCACCAUUGCCCCAAAACUUUUUAAUUUUUCUGAGGAGGCCAUUGCACCAAACCGAAGAUGAGAGCUAAAGCAAUGAUCAAGAGACCAAAACUGAAACCCUUCGCUAUUAAUACGACGAUACAUGUAGUCUUGUUUAGAUACAUAUUAUUCCAAAUAAACUAAAGACCUUUUAGGGCUCUUCUUCUACCCAGAAUAGGAGAAAUUUUUCAGUCCUCCGAAAAACCACGUGACAUUAUACUAUACAGUGGUCCUCACAACUAAUAGAAAACCACCGUGUAACAUUUUUGACAAGUCAUACCAAGGUGAAUAAAAGCAGUAAAACCAGACAACUCCAGGAAAAAAAAUAAAAAAAUUGACCCCCCCCUUUCCCAUUAGCUUUGAUGUAUCCCCUUAACUUCAGAAUGGGUAAACAAAGAUUGGGUACUGGAAUUGAUACAUGUAGGGGGUACGCUUGCAGACAAACUCAACUCAAGGUUUGCAUGCAAUUUGUUGUGAGUAUGAGAUCUACGGAAUCAGUAAGCUCUCUUGGUCCUCUUCCAAACUUUGCUCCUUCAGGAUCCAUUGGAUUAAUAGCUCAUCAAAUGGUGGCCAGUUAUCAACUCUCACAUGAAUCCUGAAUUGGUCUUCAACUGGUACAACACCAGAUCACCACGAAAGAAAUUAUUGAAUUCAAACACUUUCUUCCUCCUCCUCUCUUGUGACCCCCAAAUUAUUAAAGCAGAUAUCAAUUCAGAAAGAGCAGAGCAUCACGAACCCAAUGCUAAAUAGCACCGCGCGGGAAUUUGACCUCCCAAUUGAACCAAUUUUCAAAAUUGCCCACCUCAUCCGGUUUGGGGGUUGCGGUUACUGAACUUCAAAUUCUGUAGUUAGGAGACAGAGGAGUCGGAAAGUGAGAAGCUUUAUGCUUUUGACAGAUCCAGAAGGUUUGAGAAAGAGAGAUAAGGGGAAAAAGUCCAUACCAAUUCAAAGAAUAAAAGCAAACAUUGGGUAUAAGGAUGAUUUUAAUUUUGAGAUCUCCGGUUAACGACGAACAACAAAGCUAACGAGAAGGGAAGGGGGCAGGGGGUUAAUUUUUUUUUUUUUUUUCUGAAGUUGUCUGGUUUUACUGCUUUUAGUUUAUUCACCUUGGUAACUUGUCAAAAAUGUUACACGCGGCGGUUUUCUAUUAGUUGGGAGGACCACUGUACAACACCACGUGGUCCUCUAGGAGGACUGAAAAAUUUCUCUGAGAGUAGGCUAGGAGUAGUUCAUCACCUAUUUUUUGAUAGCAUAUAUGAAAUUAAAAGUUUAAGCAUUUAUAAAUAUGAUUUAUCAAUUUUAAACUUGAACAGUUUCUGUUUGACAGACUUGGAUUAUCUAUUGAUUUGAUCUAGUUCGAUUUCUUAAUGAUCAUUAAAUUGGCUGAAAUUUGUAAAACUAUAUAUUGACCUAAAACCUAAACAGUUAAGAUGACAAAUGUAUAUAAUACACCGUUAAUAAUUAGAAAGUCAUUAACUAAUUCUCAACUUAGGUGGCAACUGUGCUACACUAUUCUUUUCAUACUGGGCCCGUAGCAAAAACUAGUUUGUUAUUAUAGAAAAACUAGUCCAUGAGUGUGGCCCGUAGAUGAAGGCCCAGAACUGCAAAGACCCACCUCCCAUCUCUCUCUCUGCUCCCUCAUCUCUCUCUUCUCUCUCUUAUUUUCACAAAACCCUAAAACACUACUCCGCCCACAUUUCCUCUCCCUCUCUUUGCCGCCAAAAAAUCUCACCACCGCUCUUCCUCCACCCAUGGCGGAGCUAAAGCUCUCGGAGAGCCGAGACCUGACCCGAAUAGAGCGCAUAGGCGCUCACUCCCACAUCCGCGGCCUCGGCCUCGACUCCGCCCUCGAAGCUCGCGACGUCUCGGAAGGCAUGGUGGGCCAGACCGCAGCUCGUAAAGCCGCCGGCGUGAUUCUCCAGAUGAUCAAAGAAGGAAAGAUCGCCGGCCGGGCUGUCCUCCUCGCCGGACAGCCUGGCACCGGCAAGACGGCCAUUGCUAUGGGGAUGGCUAAGUCGUUAGGGCUCGAGACGCCGUUUGCGAUGCUCGCCGGAAGCGAGCUGUUCUCGCUGGAGAUGGGGAAGACGGAGGCGCUGAUGCAGGCGUUUCGGAAGGCGAUUGGGGUGAGGAUCAAGGAGGAGACGGAGAUUAUUGAGGGGGAGGUUGUGGAGGUUCAGAUUGACCGGCCUGCGGUGGCCGGAGCGGCGUCGAAGACUGGGAAGUUGACUUUGAAGACGACGGAGAUGGAGACGGUGUAUGACUUGGGGGCCAAGAUGAUUGAGGCGUUGGGGAAGGAGAAGGUGCAGAGUGGGGAUGUGGUGGCUAUUGAUAAGGCGUCGGGGAAGAUUACGAAGGUGGGGAGGUCGUUUUCGAGGUCCAGGGACUAUGAUGCGAUGGGACCGAGUGUGAAGUUGGUGCAGUGUCCUGAUGGGGAGUUGCAGAAGCGUAAGGAGGUUGUGCAUUGCGUCACGCUUCAUGAGAUUGAUGUCAUCAACAGCAGGUAAUAAGAAUCUCAGCCUUCGUCUUGUUCAUAGUCUUCUCAGAAUUGGGUUUUAUGCUGUGGAAGUUUCUGUUUGUUCUGCUUAUUGGUUGACAUUCCUAAAAUAUUAUGAAUUUCUGUUACUAAUGAUUUUGAAUGGGUGUUUGUAUGAUAUAUGUUAAAGUGUUUAAGCCUGCCAGUUAGGUACAAUCACAUUUAAGGAAUAUAUUGCAUCGCAAGCGUGCUGCUGUGAAUAAGUCUUUGAAUAUAUCUUUUCAAUUUAGCAGACUUGGUUGAUUGAUUGUAUUCAGGGUUGCUUUUGUCUUUGAUUAGUUGUAUCAAUUCAAAAUUUUCAAAUGGUUCUUGCAUGCACAAUUUCAGUCACAGGAAGAUACAUAUUUAUGCAUAUAAAGAUGUAAAUGUUCUCCAUUGCGGGUUCUAAGAUGCAGCUGUGCAAUAAAUUGACAGGCUUUGAUGAGUUUGAUCAAUGUCUAUUACUAAUAAUGUAAUGUAAACCCACCAGCAUAAAUUGAGCCCUCCUGAAUCAAAACAAACUGGAACCAGAUUUGAGAAAUCAUGGAUUUAUUUAAAUGAAGAAGCUUUUCUUCCUGUUCAACUGCAUUUAUUCUUUUUAUGGGUGUUUUUUUUUUUUUUUGUAAAGUAGAGUUCUUUACGUGGCUACAUGUAAAGGGUUUGAACCAAAAUUCAGUACCUUUAAUCUUGAAUCGCCAAAGUGGCUCUAGCCAAGUCAAAUGGUUGAGAAGUUUACUGGCCUGCUAUUGUGCGAUUUCUGUGAAUUGUUGUCGACUGAUCUGCUUACUGAACAUUUCUUUUAAUGCUCAACUGUUUAUAUAGCUUUCUUCUUCUUCUUCUUUUUUUGUUCUGAAAAAAAAUUGAUUUUAUGGUGCUACAUGUACCGAGAGAAGGGUUUGAACAAAAGUCAGUACCCUUGAUCUUGAAUUACCAAAUUGGUUGUAGCCAAAUUGAAUGGUUGAGAAGCUUACUGGCCGGCCAUUGUGAGAUUUCUCACCUGUGUCAAUGGAUCUGCUUACCGAGCUUCUCACAUUUCUCUUGAAUGUUUUUUGUUUGUUGUUUUGAGGUGGCUCUUAUGAGAAGGGGAGAAGAGGGAACUGGCAUAAGAUAUUGCCUUUUCAAGAGGCCCUUUUCUAAUAUCAAUAUGUUAACUGAGUCAACUUCCCCGCAAAUUUGCUUUGACUCCCCAGCUGUUUGCUUCUGUUGGUGCCUAGUUGCUUACAUCUUUUUGCUUCUUCUUUUUUUUCCCCUUAAUUUGGGUAACAUGUGUUACCUGCCAGGAAAACCUUUAUAGCAUACCUUUCAGAGCCAUCUGAUCUGGUAAAUGUAAAGUAGAAAGAGAAACCUAUGUUAGUAAAAAGGUGAUGGAAGGAGAACUCGUGUAAAACCUAUUGACUUACAUAUGGGACUCGGUUGGUAAAAGAGAAAACAUUCUCUUGUGCUCAACAUUGGUUCCAGUGUUUCUCUCUACCUACAAUGAGUUUUCUUCUUGAUGUCUGUUACAGAUUUUGGUAUGUAAAAGUCUGUUAGAUGAGCUUCCAUUCAAUUGCAUAGAUUCAAACUUAGUUUAAUGGUUAUUAAGGUGUACUGUCAUAUAUAUGGAGUGUCUUCUUUCCUUGAAUACUCAUGCACAUAAAUAUAAACUUUCAAGAUGUUUAAGAAUCUCGAAAUGUUUCUCAUUCUGUUUUCAUGUUUUUGUUUUGGAUUAAUGGUAUUGGUAUUAUAAUAGUUGUGCUUGUAUUACAGUUCAAACAAUUGUUGAAUUGUAUUUUGAACUGUAUGCAGUUGAACAUCCCCUUUUACAAAAUAUAUAUAUAUAUAUAUAUAUAUAUAUAUAUAUAUAUACANAGAANNNNNNNNNNNNNNNNNNNNNNNNNNNNNNNNNNNNNNNNNNNNNNNNNNNNNNNNNNNNNNNNNNNNNNNNNNNNNNNNNNNNNNNNNNNNNNNNNNNNNNNNNNNNNNNNNNNNNNNNNNNNNNNNNNNNNNNNNNNNNNNNNNNNNNNNNNNNNNNNNNNNNNNNNNNNNNNNNNNNNNNNNNNNNNNNNNNNNNNNNNNNNNNNNNNNNNNNNNNNNNNNNNNNNNNNNNNNNNNNNNNNNNNNNNNNNNNNNNNNNNNNNNNNNNNNNNNNNNNNNNNNNNNNNNNNNNNNNNNNNNNNNNNNNNNNNNNNNNNNNNNNNNNNNNNNNNNNNNNNNNNNNNNNNNNNNNNNNNNNNNNNNNNNNNNNNNNNNNNNNNNNNNGCCUCGUGUGUGUAUAUAUAUAUAUAUAUAUAUAUAUGUACAAACAAAAAGCUCAAAUAAUGUUGGCUUGCAAGCUGCUCGGUUUGAGUUUUGGCACUCUACUUUAGACUCAGUGUAAGGUUUGGAUUAAUGCCAGAGUUUGUUUCUGAUUAUAAUUUUUCUUUGUACCAGAACACAAGGAUUUCUGGCUCUCUUUACUGGAGAUACUGGUGAAAUUCGUUCAGAAGUGAGAGAACAGAUUGACACAAAGGUAGCAGAGUGGAGGGAGGAAGGGAAGGCAGAAAUUGUGCCGGGUGUUCUGUUUAUCGAUGAGGUGCAUAUGCUUGACAUUGAAUGCUUUUCUUUUCUGAAUCGUGCUCUGGAGAAUGAGAUGGCUCCAAUUUUAGUUGUUGCUACAAACAGAGGGAUCACUACGAUCAGAGGCACAAACUAUAAAUCCCCCCAUGGGAUUCCAAUUGAUCUCCUUGAUCGCUUACUUAUUAUCACCACUCAGCCUUACACUGAGGAUGAAAUUCGCAAGAUUCUGGACAUCAGAUCCCAAGAAGAAGAAGUUGAGAUGUCUGAAGAGGCAAAGCAUUUGUUGACCAAGAUUGGUGUAGAUGCAUCUUUGAGAUAUGCCAUCCAUCUCAUAACAGCUGCUGCCUUGGCAUGCCAAAAGCGGAAGGGAAAGAUUGUUGAGAUGGAGGAUAUUAACCGAGUUUACCAUCUGUUCUUGGAUGUGAAACGAUCAACACAAUACUUGAUGGAGUAUCAGAGUCAGUACAUGUUCAAUGAUGCUGAUGAAGACGAUGCCAAUGCCAUGCAACCUUGAGAUAUUCUUUGGACUAGGAAGAUUUUAUGGUUAUUUGUGUAUGUCGCUUUAGUGAUUAUAUGCAUCAUUGAACUUUGUUUAGGGGAAAUGGUAUCACUCUGGUUGUAUGUUAUCCUGUUAGGGAAUUAGUUUUGUUACUUUGUAGUUUUUUCAUGUGUAGGGAUGAAUCAGUAAACUUUGUCUACUCUUUAAUGAAGCAUAACUAUUUUAACUGGUUCGAUCUGAUCUUUAGUUUCAGUUCAUAACUUACACUGGAUUUGAGAAUGCUAUAACAGAGCAAGAAUUCAUACAAAUUCCUUGUUGGUUCAGAUGGGAGGCAUAGACAAUUGCAGAGUUGAUGGAAUUAUUACCAGAAGAACACAAGUACAUAAAGAUGAAUAAAUACAAACAGGGAAUUACAAGAUUUGCAGAUAUACAGUAGAGCCACCUUGCCUUGUGUUGACCCUGUAAAACUUCAACUAAAAUUUCUUAAAAGCACCAAGAAGUUGGAAUCAUUUCCAGAGUUAAACAGGAGACGCUUAGCUAUUCUGUUUCAUCUGGUAAUACAGUCAAGCAGACCAAUGUAGUCUUCCCAAUAUCAUCUUAUGCAAUCUGCAUUGCAGGAUGAGGACUUCAGGAGAUCUGUUUUCCAUUCCUAAACUGCCUAAUUGGUCUUUUCAAAGGAAAGUAGAAUCUAGUCUCUAAUUCUGUGAGGUUCAAACAGGAAUCAUCUUCAAGAAAGCAGCAAUUGGCAUCCCUAUGAAGCCAAUAAAGACAGUAACAAACCAUUGAUACAGGGUGAGAGAAGCUGUGCUAAUUCCUGAGGAACUCGAUAAUAAUGAUUUGGAACACAACUGUGGAACCGAGGACUGCAACGAAAACAUCUAUGUCUUCCAUCUCACGCGAGCUUAUUUCAUUGAACACCUGAGAAAAAUAUCAUGUUAUCUUUGAAGAUUGUUCUGACAUGAACUAGUUUGAAGAAAUAUGGCAUGAGAUCUUCACUUACAGUACCAGAAUGUACAUGUUCAACGAUGCUGAUGAAGAUGAUACCAAUACCAUGGAAUCUUGAGAUAUCUCUUUGGCCUAUCUGGUUACUAUGUAUCUUGCUUAUACUGAUAUGCAGUUUCUAAACUUUGCUUAUGCGAAAUGGCACUUUCUACAAUUGUAUGUUUGUCCUGUCUUUCUGCCCACUCUUUCAAACCAAGCUUUAACAUUUUAGCAUGUUCAUUCUGGUAAUUAGUUCAGAUUAUGUACCGAUUUUCAGGAUUGUACAUAAGUUGCUUGUCUUCUUGCCUUUAAGCUUAUAAAUUGUAAGAGGAGCUGUGCUAUUGGUAUAAAAGAUUAGUUCAAAAUAGUUCGACUUCUAACCUCUCAACCCCCUACUACCAUAUACUCUGAAUAGUUUCGUUGUUGGUUAUUAGUUUUGGUUGUUGGUUUCAACUUUCAAAUCUCUUGGAAUUGUGCUGGAAGAAAUAGGAGAGGAGAAAAGGGACAUAGGGGGAGCUGUCUUCGAUUUUGAUCUACUAUUGCGUUCGUCAUCAGCAAGGUCAUGGGUCAGCAGCAGUUCCUUUGGUCUGUUUCUUUUCUAGAGAAGUUUAUGACAGGUACUUGGCUCCAUGUAAGCAAUAAUUUUCAUUGUGUAUGAAGGAAUAAAGGGGUAAAAAAUAAAUAGGAAAAAAAAAAAAAGUGGAGACUCAAAGAGGAACAAUUUUAUUUGAAAUGGGUCUUACAGACCCCCAAACAAUAAGGAAUUGAGCAAUCAUAUAUAUGUUACAUAUCCAAAACAACAUGUAUGUUGUCCGAAAUUGAAGCUUAGCAGGGGCACAGGACCCAGUUGGUCCUUUCAGUAGCUCCACCAUUGAUACCAGCUGAACGGCAAAUUGCAACAGACUCCUUGAUACCAGGAGGAAUUGUAGUGCCAACAAUUCCUAUGCAAGUAUAUUCAGAAGUUGGAAUGGGAUCCUCAGCUGAGAAUUCUUUGUCUAGUUCCAUAUACCCAAGGCACCAAGUUCCAAGACCCUCACCAGCAAAAUCACUGCUAGUAACUUGAAGAUGCUUGACUGAUGCUUCAUCAAGAGGAACAGUUACAAACAAACUGUUUGAAUUGAUCACCAUAGUUCUGCAAGCGGCCACGAAGCAAACAAGUGCUUUAUAAUCUAUCGUAUUCUGCCCCAAUCUAUUUCUUAGAACUUGUAUGUAACCCAUCAAACUUUCAUGUUCGAUUGUCAUCCCUACUCUGGUAACCAUCAUUGUGCAUUGUCCAUCUAAAACCUUAGUUCCAGCAACAAGGACAGGGUUUUCAGGAGUUACCACUAUAGGCUUACUCUCACCAAUUAAACUCGAUGCAUCGAUUAAGACAGAGUAUCCGAAGACAAACAGCCCAUCUGCAGGUACGGUGUCCCCUUUAGAAAGGUGUAACAUAUCACCAGGUAUUCCAGGAUAUCUCAACUUCUUCAAAUCAGGACCUAUCAGAAAGAAUUCCGAUUCAUCUACAGAGCUUGCAAAAAAAGACCUACCAAGACCUCGCUCAAAGGAUUCCACUUGAUCAGCAAGUAUUGCAACGUCGGCAGGCAAGACAGAGUCACUUGACUUCAUACCUGAAGACACCAGAAGUUUAAAAUAAGCAUGAACUCGCUGUAAUUUAAGGGUAGCAGAUAUUUAUCUAAAUGCUGAAGCGACUCACCUCGAGCAGAUCUGAAUGAAGCUUCAGACAAUGAACCAGCAAUCCGCGGUUUCUCCUGCACAGUUUAAAUCAGAAUGUAAUCAAUAAAUAAGUACAUAUUUUCAAGUUAAAAACGUAAUAAUUGUCUUAGUAUAUUUAGGACAAUGCGCAUGACCAACUUACAGUAUUUUCAUUAUCCUAACACCAAGUCACCAAAUCCAUCUCAGAACCAUGACAAGACUCAAUCAAGUCCAUCAAUAAUAACCAAGAUGUCCAAAACUCAGCUAUUAUCAGGGUAAAUGUUUACUGAAUGAUUAGUCUAAUAUGAUAUGUAGUUGUAUUCCAUUUCCAUCAAAGCAAAUUUCCCCCAAAACCACACAUAGUUUCUUCCUCUCCGAUCACCGAUCACAUUUUAACCUCUGCAAUGUAAGACAUGCACUAGCCUAACAUGACCCAAAUGCCAACAAAGAUAUAAGCCCAUGUUCUAUAAUUUUAUUUACAAUCUAAACAAACCAUCGAAUUUCUGAGUGAUCAAAUUUCUAAUACCGAACGACAGGAAUAUUUACGAGAGCAAUUGUAAUUAUUGGACAAAAGCGAAAAACAUGUAAGAUAAGGAAAUCAAUUAACAGGGAGGAUUGAAAUUAACGAACCUGAGUAGCUAGGGGCAUAACCGCGACCUCAGCGUGAUCGAGAAUCCAUCGGGUCAAAUCUUUUGGGCUAAGAAACUGAGAAUAGAUCCCCAUUUCCCCAAUAGCAUUUUGCAAACAUAACAUUUUAAGUGUGUACGUGGUGCUGAGUAAAACCCUCCUCCAAAAGACCAGAACUAUAUAACAACAAGACGAACCUAAAACUCUAAAAGCAAAUUAGGUGAAGGAUUUUGGGUGCAAAUUCUUAGCUCUAAUCCUCUGAACCCACUUUGAACUUGACAGUGCAGAUGCCAUCAACAGAAAAAUGGUUUAUAGGUGAACCCACUUUGAACUUGACAGUGGAGAUGCUAUCAACAGAAAAAUGGUUUAUAGGUGUGUUGUUGGUUUGAGAGCGAAGACAAUAAGCAAUAGAGGCUGAGAUGAGGAGAAGACGGAAAGGGAGUGAAGAUCCGGUUUUUGGUGGAACCUUCAUGGUCAGCUGAUGAUUGUGAUCAUCUAAAUCCUUAUACCUCUGUUCGAUUUCAGCUCACUCCAACUCUGCUCCUGUUGAUGAAAAGGGGAAGAGCAGCUGAAGGAAAGUCUAUUUUGCGGCGGGUGUUAUGAUUCGGACAAAAAAAAUCCCUAAUUUAUGACUAUAUAUAUAUAUAGGCAACUAUAUGCAAUCUCAUUCAUACACGUGGCAUCUAUCAGGCCGUCUAUUGUUUAAAGAGGGAUCUCUCGCGUGGCAGGGUGGCUUUUCAUUCAAGCAAAGGCAAUUUUCAGAUUUUUGUCCUCUUGUACUUGAGUCCAGUUUCCUGGGCGGCUUGGACAGGUGCAACUGGCUCCCAAAUUUCGGGACCUAUAUAUACUUAUUAGAUAAUAUAUAGAAAAAAGGGCAUUUCUUUACACUAUAACAACGCAGUUCAGUUGGCUCUGAAGUCUGAACGUCUUAAACCUACCUGAGUUCGAAUCACAGGCAUGAUAUUUCUUUUUAUUUCAAUCCAUCAAGUCAGGGAGUGGUUAUGAAAUAUUACAAAUGUCCGGCACAAAAAUCUACAAAGCAGACCAACCUAAACUACUAACAAUUACCGAAUGCAAUGGUAUUAUUCAUUAGGGUCAAAAAAAUCUCUUGGAAAAAAACCAACAACAAAACAAAAACAUCCCUCGCCUUACCAUGCCCCAAAAAUGAAACCACUGUAAAGAUCAUUUAGAUGUCAAGACCUCAAAUGGUGCAUGUUUCGACAAAUCAAACAGUAAUGUGGUCAAGACCUCAAAUGGUACCACCCAUGAGACAGAUAGGGCAAGAAAUGCAGUAGCCCGCUCCAACAAAAUCCAGACCAGCCCAAACAAAAUAAAACAAAAAAGAGAACUGAACCUAAGAAGCCCAGCCCAACCCAGCAGAGGCCCAAGCAACUUGCCAUGGAUCUUCCUCGUAUUUGGAAAUUUGUGUAUGUUGCUUUAGUGAUUUUAUGCAUGAAUGGGUCAUGGAACUUUGCUUCGUAUAAAAAAAAUAAUAAUAAUAAAUAAAUUAAAAAAUUUGCUUAGGGGAACUGGUGUUACUAUGGUUGUAUGUUGUUCUGUUAGGAUGUUAGAUCUUGGGAAUUAGUUUUGUGGUUUUUCCAUGUGUAGGGGAUGAAUUAGCAAACUUUAUCUACUCUUUUAAAUCUAGCAUAAGUAUUUAACUGGUUCAAUCUGCUGUUUAGUUUCAGUUCAUAUACUGAAUUCCAGAAUGUUAUAACAGAGCAAAUAAUCAUACAAAUUCCUUGUUUGGUUUCAGAUUGGGAGGCAUAGACAAUUGCAGAGAGUUAAUGGAAUUAUUACCCGAAGAACACAAGUAAUUACAUAAAGAUGAAUAAAUGUAAACAGGGUGUUACAAGACUUGCAGAUAUACAAUAGAGCCACCUUGCCUUGUGUUCACCCUGUAGACUUGGAACUCAAAUUUCUUAAAAGCACCAAGAAGUCGGGAUCCUUUCCAGUGUUAAACAGGAGACGCUUAGCUAUUCUGUUCAUCUGGUAAUAGACAAUCAACCAGAUCAAUAUAGUCUUCCCAAUAUCAUCUCAUGCAAUCUGCAUUGCAGGAUGAGGACUUAAAGAGAUCUGCUUCCAUUCCUAAACUGCCUAAUUGUUCUUGUCAAAGGAAAGUAGAAUCUAGUCUCUAAAUCUGUGAGGUUCAAACAGGAAUCAUCUUCAAGAAAGCAGCAAUUGGCAUCCCUAUAAAGCCAAUGAAGACGGUAACAAACCAUUGACACAAGGUGAGAGGUGUUGUGCUAGCAAACUUCCCCAGGAACUCGAUAAUAAUGAUCUGGAACACAACUGUGGAACCGAGGACUGCAACGAAAACAUAGUUAUCCAAUAUGCCCUUGAAAACAUCUAUGUCUUCCAUCUCACGCGAGCUUAUUUCGUUGAACACCUGAAAAAAAGAUCAUGUUACCUUUGAAGAUUGUAAUGUCAUGAACUAGUUUGAAGAAACAUGGUAUGAGAUUUUCACUUACCUGACAGAAGACAAAUGUAUUGAAAAUGAGAGUGUUCAGGAUCAGAUGAGAAUCUGGUCCAUCAAGACCAAAUAUUGAUUCUCCUUUUGCCUGAAGAAGCCAUAUUACUGUAAACUGAUAGAAAGACUGCCCCAAAAUAUUCCUCCACAUUACAUUACUGAUGAAAUUUUGCCUCUUUCCAACUGGUGGACGCUUCAUUAAAUCAUUAUUUGGAGGCUCAGUUGCAAGUGCAAGUGCUCCCAGUGUGUCCAUAAUCAUGUUCACCCACAGUAGCUGAACAGCAGUGAGGGGUGCACUCCCUGAAAAAUAAUGCAAGAGAAAACAUACAUCAAAAACGUUUACAAUGAUGAAAAGAAAAGGAAUGUGAAAGCCAUAACAGAAAUGGUCAACAAAUGUGAGCAUGCUAACCUGUCAAACAAGCCGAGGAGAAAUUAACAAUCAGUGCAACAAUAUUGACAGUCAGCUGGAACUGCACAAAUUUUUGAAUGUUGAUGUAAACCGAACGUCCCCAUUUUGCCACUGUCACAAUUGUGGAGAAAUUAUCAUCCAGAAUUAUAACAUCAGCACUCUCCUUAGCCACCUGAAAAAAGGAAAGGUAAUUAGUUGAGCUUUAAGCACUGAAGAAGAAGUAUGUAGUUCUGCACUUGCAUAGCAUUUACUCACCUCAGUUCCGGCAAUGCCCAUGGCUAGUCCAAUAUCUGCCUCAUGAAGUGCUGGGGCAUCAUUUGUUCCAUCACCAGUUACAGCAACAACUUCAUCAAAUGUUGUCCUCAAGUGUUUCACCAGUGUAUGCUUGUCUAGAGGCGAUGAUCGUGCCAUGACCUACAACAGGAACUCAAAUUUUAGUCUCACAGACUAAUAGAAUCAUACUCAGUUAGGACUACACUGUAUAUGUUUCGGAACUUAAGUUCCUAAGAAAAUAAAAUGAAGUUCACCUGAAUUUUAGGAAUUAGUGAAAGCAAUUCUUCUUGAUUCUUCUCCCUGAACUCCGGACCUUCAAUGGCUAAUCCAUCAUCUGUGAGAAUUCCACAUUCCCUUGCUAUGGCCUUUGCAGUGUGGAUAUUGUCUCCUGUAACCAUUCUUACUGUGAUACCAGCUGAACGGCAAACUGCAACAGACUCCUUCACACCGGGACGAACAGGAUCUUUAAUGCCAACAAUUCCUAAGCAAGUAUAUCCAGAAGUUGGAAUGGCAUCCUCAGCAGAGAAUUUGUCUAAAUCCAUAUAGCCAAGGCAUAAAGUUCGAAGAGCCUCACAAGCAAAAUCAUUGAUAGUAACUUUGAGAUGGUUAAUGGAUGCCUCAUCAAGAGGAACAGUUUCACCAUUUGAAUUGAUCACCUUAUCACAGUUGGCCAAAAUGAUUUCUGAAGCACCUUUAGUAUGUGCUCUGAAACCUCCUCCUUCAGGCAGUUCCAACACGACCCCCAUUCUUUUCUUUGUUGAGUUGAAAGGCUCAACUUUCACAAUUUUAGAAGCUUUUCUCUCUGCUUGAAAAUCUCCACCAAGUGCCAAGCCAAACGCCAACAAUGCAGUGUCGGUAGGUGUUCCCAACAUCUCAUUCUUGCCACCUUUGUUAACCACAACUUCUCCACCAGUGUUAUUAAAUAUCGAUUGCAGCAACAACUUCUUAACAGAUUCCGGAAGAUCAGAGAACAAGCUUGAAGCAUCACUGAGGUUGCUCACAUCUUUGACAUUCAUGCAAAGGCAUGACUUGACAACAGUCAUUUUGUUGGUAGUCAGUGUCCCAGUUUUGUCACUGCAAAUGUUGGUGGCUGAUCCCAUAGUUUCGCAAGCUGCUAGAUGACGAACAAGCGCCUUAUCAUUCAUCAUUUUCUUCAUGGCAAACGCAAGGCUCAAUGUCACAGCCAGUGGCAACCCCUCAGGUACAGCAACAACAACAAUUGUAACUGCAAUAGCAAAGAACUCUAGCAAUUUCAUUGCAUCAUCUCCAUUCCAGCUCCAUUGUGUCCCUUCGCUCAGUUUUUGACUAAACAGUCCUUGCACCAUAACAGCAAAAGUCACAACAGCAAAGAAAAGUCCUAUCUUACCAAUGAUGGUUGCCACUCCAUUCAACUUCACUUGCAAUGGGGUUUCAUCAUCUCCGCCUUCACUUAGUGUGGCCAUCAGUUUGCCCCAUUGAGUUCUCAUCCCAACUGUGGUGACCAUCAUCUUGCAUGAUCCAUCUUGAACCUUAGUUCCAGAAAGAAGAAAGGGAUUUUCAGGAGUUACCAUUAUAGGCUCACUCUCACCAGUUAAACUGGAUUCAUCAAUUAAGACAGAAAAUCCAGAAACAAAUAGACCAUCAGCAGGUACUUGGUCUCCAAUAGAAAGGUGUACAAUGUCACCAGGAAGUAGUUCAUAUAUAGACAUUUUCUGCCUAUAUCCAUUUCUUGUUACUUGCAUAGCAAUCUUUUUCUUCUCCUUGUCCAAGUCCUUGAACUGUAGUGAUUGGCGAUAAUCACUUGUUGCUGUGACAAACACAACCAACAUGAUACUGGCAACAAUUCCAAGCCCAUCAUGAGCUCCUACUGGCCAUCCUUCCAUUGCUAUUCCAACGAGAAGCGACACAAAAGCACACACUCCAAGGAUCAUAAGAGUCAUGUCCUGCAGGGCUUCCCAAACAAAUACAAAGAAACCACGCUGCUCACUCUCAGUAAACUUAUUAAUGCCGAAAAUCUCUUGUCUUCGAGUGUUCAAAUCAGUUUCGGUAUUAAGCCCAUCUUCUACUGAUGUACACAGCUUCUUUGUAAGGCCAGUUACACCUCCAUGAAAUUUCAGCUUCUUCACAUCAUGACCUUCCACAAUGGAUCCCACUUCAUCAGCACAAAUCUCAAAACCCGCGGCUUUAACUUCCUGAGGUAGAACAUAGUCACUUGGUUGUACACCUGCAGACACCAGAAAUUUAGAAUGAGCAUGAAGCACCACCUUUCAAUGUGAUGAUACUGUUUGUAUAUCUUAAUGCUGAACGUACUCACCUUGAAUAAAUUGAAAUGCAGCUUUAGAAACCAAAACUGCAAUCCUCAAUUUCUCCUGCAAAAUGCAAGUCACCAAGUAAUCAGUACAGUCAGAAGUUGCAUGACAGAACUUGCAAUUCAUUCUCCUAACACCAAGUCCAUUACUCCAUUUCUAAGUCCACCACCAUAUUGACGACAAGAAAAAAGAGACUUUCUGAAACUAUAGACAAUUUGGAAACUGUUAACAACACUUUCUCUCCAAGACUCCAUCUGUGAAAUUGUAGAAUUUGAACUGAAAGUAUUGUCACUUUUUAGUUUUUACCAACUACAGCUACAGCAAGAAACCCUUAAUAUCUAGUGGCAUAGUUUUGUGUCACAAUCUAUAAACUGUUUUACAGAGUUAUAACAAAAUUUCCAGAUAUUGGAUAAGGUUGCACAUAAGCUUUUAUUUUGUACAAUAUACAGAGAAAAUUUGUCAACAUGUAUAAAACCAAUCACUGUCAGGCUAUAUGAACAACUAAUCAUCAUUUGCUAUUGACUAAUGAGUUGAGAGCAAAUAUAUAUAGGCAUCUGUCUUCUUCCUCUGUCUUAUUUGUUGGGCUAAUUAAGUUGACUAAAGACUAGUUGAUUGUUCCUUUAAAAUACCCUUAAGAGUUGAAUAAGACACAGAAAAAUAUAUUCCCUUACAUUCUAUAUCACACACAAAGUAAACCAAAGCAUUCUCCAAUUUAAGAUGUCAAAGUUCAAACUUCAAACAUUUGACAACUUCUGGUUUCAAGGUUAUCAUAAUUAUUUACAUAUUAUGUGUCAUAUCCAUUUGUGUCACUCAAGAACAAUGCAUAUUAUUACAGAGGUUGUAUUAUGGGAUAUAUACCUGAUUGGUACGGCGCAUGGCCGCAGCCUCUGUACGCUUGGAAAGAUUAGCAGUGAACCGAAACCGUCUUUUCGGGUUCUUCACUACCCCACAAAGCUUCCUCCAUUUCUGCAACGUUUCUUCAGACGAUCCCUUUGCCUUCACUUCCCCAAAAUUCUGCAAAUAACUCUCCAUAAUCUUCUUCUACCUUUCUUCUGCUCAACUUUGUAGUAACAAUCACAAACCUCCUCCAAAUCAUAUAUAAGCUUCAAGUAGUAAAGGAAGAAGGCACGUAGGAAGAUCACGUAGAGGAAGUUUCAGCAACAUUUCAGGCAUAUGGUGGCCUUUAGGAAAGAACAAGGAGAAUGAGGUCUGGACCCGACAAAAAGGAAAAAUGGUCUGUAAUUUCUUGGCCCGUGUAGCUCAAGUUCUGUACCCAAAAAUAGAAAAGAGAGAGUAAUGAGGAUCCGAAAUUUGGUGGUAUUACUUGGUUUGGGAGCUAAUAACGGUUAGAUCAUAUCCGAGCUUAAUUCUUGGCUCUGUGAUCUGGUAUUUUGGAGAAGAAGAAGAAGAACCAGCGGGGUCAACACUCUCAGUUUGUAGUUGUUUGGUGUGAGAUUAUGGGGGUUAAAUAGAGAGAUCUCUCUAUCAGAGAGCAGUUAAUUAUGGUUUGAAUUUUACAAUAUAAUUAAGCAUUUUUAUGCCUAACUACUAUUACCGCGUUUUUAAUUUUCUUUUUGGUGCGUGUUUGAGACGUGUAUAACGCGUAGAGAAUAAAAGGAGCUACUAUAAAAAGGAAGAGACCAAGACUUUGAGAAUGCAAGUCCUUGGCCAUAGUAACGUCUUUGUUUCUUUAAGGAAAGGAGUGUGAAGUUCACUCACUAAUACUAUUCACAUGGUGUGAGGCAGAGUUUUCACGUGUAAUGGAAUCAUAAUUGUGCGGAUUAAGUAUCAUCGUGACGUAUCGGAAGUGAUUGUCUAUUAUUGAGUUUCGAAAUAAGUUGUUGAAGUUAAGUUAUACUUGUUAUUGUUUAUAAGUGUCUAAAUUGAAAAUGACAUUGGAUGUAACAUAAUAGAUUAUUAUUUUAAGUUGAUGAAAUUCUACAAGUUAGGAAGAGAUUGGUUUGUUUCAAAAGUAAUUAAGAAGACUUUGUUUAGGGUCCAUGAAAAAGAUUAUAUAAGUACGUUCAUCGGUUCAUGGACUAAACUGGCCACGAACAUUUUUAACUUAAUCAUCUUAUAUAUCGUCGUUCAUAAUACUGUGUGUAUAAGAUUUUGAUACUCAAUACAACAAGUUAUAUGACUUAAUAUAUCAUUUAUCGCACCGUUAAAAAACUUAGGUUAGGAUUGCAAAGACCAUAUUGAGUCCCGGCCCCUAGUCGAUCACUCGUAUUUUAACCAUCAAGGGUGAGAGCUAAACUCAUAGGUUGAAGCCUUCAACAUGCAUGCCUGCUCAUUUACAUAAAUAUGAAAUAUACUCAACAUGCCUGCUCAUCACCUUCUUCUUACACACUGCAAAACUUUAUCAAAUCAGUAGAUCAAGAACCUUAGAAGUAGAGUUUCACUAUUCUAUCAUUCAUUGCAGAAAUGAAGUUCUACCUCUUUUUGUUAUGAACUUCUGAUGCAGUGAUACUUAUACUUGUUACCACCUACUGCUUGUUGAGAUAUAUAUCCCACAUCGGGAAAAAUGAGAUCUUGUUUGGGGUUUAUAAGGGUUUGGGCCACUCUAUCCAUUGUCAAUUGGUUUUGGAUGUGAACACCAGACUACUUUAUCAUGGUAUCAGAGCGGGUUACCCACGUUUACGUGUGAAGCCUAAUGGCCACACGAACUCCACGUCACCCCAAAUGUUAUCCACGUGUUAGGCUUGAAAAUUUGUCACACGUGCGGGGGCGUGUUGAGAUAUAUAUCCCACAUCGGGAAAAAUGGGACCUUACCUGAGGUUUAUAAGGGUUUGGGCCACUCCAUCCAUUGUCAAUUAGUUUUGGAUAUGAACACCAUACUACUUUAUCACUGCUACUAAUUGAUAAGAGCUUGUGGACAGAACUUGCCCAUAUCAGUUUCUAUCUAAAUGCUUCAAUUUCAGAGACCUAAUACAAAAACUUGGGAAGAAAGUACGCAGUACUGCUGCACAUUGUUCAUGUUUAGGUUCAGGUACUCAAGUUUCUAACAUUCAAAGAGCUAUUCAUCACUAUCAUCAUCAUCUUCAUCUCCAUAGUCCUCAACAUGGCUAUAACAUGAUACAGCAUGCGGAAUGAUCAUGUCUCGAAUCGUGAUACCAAUCACAUAAUCUUCCGAAAGUUUGCCUUUGAGUUGAUAAGUUUCUAUGUCAAAAGAAAGACGUUUGAAGACAGUAUCAUAUGAUGACUCGAAGAAAUUGAAGAAACUUUCAAUGCCUUCACCGUCUCUACCAGGUUGUGGGAAUCUUUCCACUGUAUUUCAUCCCCAACUAUCUCCAAGGAAACAGAGUCGUUGUCGUCACCCAUCACCUCAUACUUCUUAGUCAAAACCUUGUUCUUGAAUAAGGAUUAUAGUCGAAGGUGAACUCCAGCACAAUUCCUUUCAAAUUAGUUGUCCUACUGGACAGGGCCGGCCCUGACCAUAGGCCCAGCAGGCGCUGAUCUAAAGCCCCAAGUUUUAUGGGCCCAAAAAAAAACAUUGCCUCCUUAUAUAUAAUGAAAAAAAAAAUUAUACAGCCGUGAUCUCUUUUUUCUAGAAAAGGCACCAGGAAUGUUUCGUCUUCUCUUGUUCUCUUCUAUAAUUGAUAAUUCUAUUGCGGCAAAUUGGCGUUCUCAAAGUCUCUUGUUCUCUUUUUUUCUUUUUGGUUUCAGACUCUCUCUUCUCCUUCACUGCUUGAGUCCUUGUUCAUAUUACCAGGUAUUUUCUUCUUCUUUCUUUUGGUUUUUUUUCCGAUGAUGCCCUUUGCUUUAGUUCCAUGAUUCCAUUGAAUUGCUGCAAUUUUAUGAUUACAUGGUUUUACUUGUUUGUUUAAUUAUAUAACUAAUGAAUAUAUGAGACAGAUUUUUUUGUUUUGUUUGUGUGUAUACUAACCUAUUCUUUGAUUGUUUGGUUCCUGCCUAACCCUUUCAACUGAGUGUUGUUGAAGUUUUGCAAAGUUUUUUCUUAUUGUUCUUCAGUUCUUGGUGAAUCAAUUAUUAGUUAUAGUCUUACAUAGUUGUUAUUUACUAGUUCAACCAAAGUACCAAAUUAAACAUUAGCCAUCAUACUUGAUUAUAACAAUUGUCAUUGUGAAUAGGAUUUGUCUUCGAUCAACUAUGUCACAGGAAAGAUUGAAUGGUUUAGCUUUGUUGUCGAUUGAAAAAGAGUUGGCUCAAAAGCUUGAUUAUUUAAGCUUAAUUGAAACUUUUGCAGCCAAGAAUGCAAGAAUGGUUGUUUUUCAGUAGCAAGAGUGUUAUUUUUUGUAAUUCUAAGAUUUUAUUUGAACUACUGUAGUAUCUGAUCAAAUUACUGGAUUGAUAUAUUGUUGGAUAUAUUAAUUCUAUUAGUAUUCAUAUAUGUUGUUUGCAUAGUUACAUACUUGAAAAAGACUUAGGUGCCUUGGGGUAUUCAUACCUUGCAAGAUGUCAUUGUUUUAUUUGUCCACAUAGGUCCACAUAGGAUAACAGCUUAAAAACUUAACAGAUUUUUGUAACUAUUCUAACGGAUUUUUGUAACUGUUAAAAAAAAAAANNNNNNNNNNNNNNNNNNNNNNNNNNNNNNNNNNNNNNNNNNNNNNNNNNNNNNNNNNNNNNNNNNNNNNNNNNNNNNNNNNNNNNNNNNNNNNNNNNNNNNNNNNNNNNNNNNNNNNNNNNNNNNNNNNNNNNNNNNNNNNNNNNNNNNNNNNNNNNNNNNNNNNNNNNNNNNNNNNNNNNNNNNNNNNNNNNGAUGGGUCAGCUAUAUAUAAGGGUAAUAACCGACAAUGAAUGGUCAGUCUAAGGAUUUCGGUCAAUGACAAAGUCACAUGUGUCAACAUGUAAGAGAUUGCUUCGUGAAACAUGUCAAAGGCAAGAGAUGACUAUUCAACUUGCACCCACGUGGGGGAGCAGCUGACUUUGUCUCCAGCAAUGAAUGAAGUCCAUCAAUAGAAACUCGCCACAUGACGGUCCAAUCCAAAAGUCAUCCCUAUCUUCGAAAAAUCAUAAAAAAUAGUCCGAGAAUCCGAGAAAUUCACCGAAAAAUACGACGAACUCGUGGAGACAUCUAGUUUCUAAUUCUAAAAAGAAAAACACAUUUUGAGAAAUUUCAAAAUUCGGGAUGUUACAAGUCACCUCUAGUGUAUAUAGGGUUUAUGAUGAUUGAGCAUAGUCACCCUAAUUCCUUUUGGCAUAUGGAGCAUAGUCACCCUAAUUCCUUUUGUGAUGAUCGAUCAAUAGUCGAUCACCUCUAGUGUAUACUUGAUAUAUGAUAAUCAAGCGCUAGUCACCUUUGAUGUAUAUAAGGUUUAUAAUGAUAAGCCAUUAAUAUCAAGUAAUGUCUUAACGUUGGCAUGGUUUACGGUUUAUGAUGAUCGAGUACAAAUGACCUCUCAUGUAUAUAUAGUUUAGAGUUUAUGAUAAUCUAGCAAUAGUCACAUCUCACAUCUAGUGUAUACAUGGUUCAAGGUUUGUGAUGAUGGAUCAAUUAUAUGAUAAUCGAAAUUAAAGUUUUAUGAUCGCAUCUACAAUCAAUUUUCAUAAAAGAGAACCCUAAACCCUAAACCCUAAACCGCAGGGACAAACACGUCGUUUCGCAGCAUAAGUAUGAAACUAUGUAUAUAAAGGAAAUGGAACCCUAGCCGCACUUUCCUCUCUUUCCCUUGCGCGUUUCUCUCUCUCUCUCUNNNNNNNNNNNNNNNNNNNNCUCUCUUCCUUCGUCGCGUUCUCUCUCUCUCUCUCUCUCUCUCUCUCUCUCUCUACCACCGUUUAGCUCGUCACCCUCUCCUCUACCUCCUCCUAAUCACCGAUUGACAUGCAUCCACCUCUUUCUCAAGAUUGAAAUCCAAACCCUAAAUCCCCAAAUCCAAUUUCCGACCGAAUCUCUCCCUCUCUGGCGAACUCGUGCUCCGUGAAGGUAAACCCAUCACUUCUCUCUCGUUUUCACUCCUCCUUGAGCUUUGAUUUCCCUAAAUACAGCCUUAAUCUGAUUUUCUUUUCUUUUGUAUUUCUGGGUUUUGGUCAAAGUUUUCCGGCGACCUCGUCGACUUCUAGGGAGUCCUAUCGUGUUCUAAUGGAGCCGAAGUACGUUUAAGUGGCGUUGUGGAAGUAGCGGGCGGUUCUGGGUUGAGGCAGUGGCUUUCUAGCGAGGGGAGGAUCCAUGUUCUUAUGUUGAUUCUCCGAUUUGGUCUUGGUUAAGCAAGGAGAAGGUUUAGACUUUGUCUAGUUCAUUGAUUUGGAGAAACAGAUGGUAAGUCUCGACCUCUCUUGUUGUUGUGGAAUUACUAUGUUGGUUGUUCUGCGUUGAGUUGUUGAAUUGUUGGUUUUGGAUUUCACGUUGGUACCAUGGCGGAUUUGGAAUUGAAGCAGUGAAGCAAAAGCUAAUGUGUUGGUUCAUAAGGGUAAGGAUUUCCCUUGUUUUGUUGCAGUGUCGUUGUUUUUUGGUUUUGUUAUUGAUGCCUGAUUUGAGUGAGUGUUUUGGUUGCUUGUAUAGUUGUAUGUCGAGAACUUGGUGUUUUGAAGAAUACGGGGAGGUUAUGGCCCGUGUGCUCUUGCCAUUUCCUUACCUUUGUCUUGUGUGCUAGGAGUUUAUGACUCCUUUAUUCCAUGAUUGCCUCAACAAUCAGUGAGUUAUUCUUGUUUUUAUGUAUCAACUUGUUUCUGGUAUGCCUUCCUAAUUCUCACAGUGAUAAUUGUAAUGUUUAAACAUUAGCCUCUGAGUUAUAAAAUUCAUAUUAUAAGUUGAGUACUUAUACAAUUUUAAUGGUCCUGAAUAACUGCUUUUGUGUUAGAGGUUAUUCAUAUAUAGUUAUUUAUAGCUUUGAAAUGUGAUGCUUGUAGUUGCAAAGCAAGUUCCAAGACUAUCAUGGAAACUAUAAUAAUAUAGAUUAAUUAGGAAUUUAAGUGCUAUGAGGAUAGAAGCAGAUGCUUUCAAUUGCUAUCAUAAAGAGCAUCCUACUCAAACUAAACACUACUGACUUGAUAGAUUUGUUGUAGGUCGCUAACUUGUCAUGUUUUUUACUUUCUUAAUACAAAAUGAAAUAGUGAUAUAUAUGGUUUUAGGUUUUAGCUAGCCAUAGAUCACUUUCUUUUCUGUACAGUCUUUGAUGUCAAGUUACACUGCAUAUUGAGGUUGAUGCAUGCAUCUUAAUUGUUAAAAAUUUCGCUUUUCCGUUUAAAUUGAUAUAAGUUAUGUUAAGCUAAUAUGUGAUUGUUUCAACUGUGUGCAGGGUGUACCAUGGCACAGCUGAACCCAAGAUAUAUGAACGGAAACUACUGUCAAAUGCUCAUGGAUGAGUUUGAAGGUGAAAGGUUGAGGAAGAGCAUUGUGGAACAUAUAAAUAUGAUCAAGAUACUACGCUCUUUUUUUUUGGGUCAUAAUAGAAGUGCUAGGUUUAGAGUUUAAACUUUUGCAACUGAGGGAUACAAUGUAUUUUGAUGGAUAUUGAUGCAAUGAAAAGUUUGAUGGUUCAUUAGGUAACAAUCUCAAGAACAACUCUUCAGAAUGUCUACUUCUAUAUGACCAAGUUUGUCAUGAAACUAGUACAUGGUGCACAUUAAACUGGGACUUUGAGUAGACUUGCAUAUAAGAACAGUAAUACUCUAAAAAACAACCCUCUCAAAUGUGUUCUUUUCAUAUGGAAGACGGUGACUUAUGCAUUCCGAAGUCUACUUGUACAUGGGUAACUUAUGCAUGCCGAAGUCUACUUGUACAUGGGUGACUUAUGCAUGCCGAAAUCUACUUGUACAUGAGAAACGCUAAGACAAUUAGUAGACAAUUGUCAACGUAAAGUUAGACCUGGUUCAUGAGACGCUAAGACAAUUAAUAGACAAUUGUCAACAAAAAAGUAGACAUUUACUCGUAAAUAAGCAAACUAGGCUUCGUAAACAUGUAGACCUCUCAAGAAUUCUUCAAGUGUCUGUGAAUUUUGGACACUUUAGAGUUGGUCUACUCGUAGUGUGAGUCAAUGAUUCGAAAACCUAGUACACCAUGUUCACAAAACAGGUAGGUUGUUGUUCGUAAACAGGUAGACCAUUUUGUCUCAACAAAAAAGGUAGACCCUUGCUUGUAAAUAAGCAGACCAGGCUUCGUAAACAAGUAGACCUCUCAAGAAUUUUUCAAGUCUGUGAAUUCUGCACAUUUUAGAGUUGGUCUACUAGUAGUGUGAGUCAAUGAUUCGAAAACCUAGUACACUAUGUUCACAAAACAGGUAGGUUGUUUUCGUAAACAGGUAGACCAUUUUCUCUUACAAAAAAAAUAGACCCUUGCUCGUAAAGAAGCAAACCAGGCUUCAUAAACAAAUAGACCUCUCAAGAAUUCUUCAAGUGUCUGUGAAUUCUGCACACUUUAGAGUUGGUCUACUCGUAGUGUGAGUCAAUGAUUCGAAAACCUAGUACAACAUGUUCACAAAAGAGGUAGGUUGUUGUUCGUAAACAGGUAGACCAUUUUGUCUCAUAAAAAAAGUAGACCGUUGCUUGUAAAUAAGCAGACCAGACUUCGUAAACAGGCAAACCUCUCAAAAAUUCUUCAAAUGUCUAUGAAUUCUGCACAUUUUAGAGUUGGUCUACUCGUAGUGUGAGUCAAUGAUUCGAAAACCUAGUACACUAUGUUCACAAAACAGGUAGGUUGUUGUUCGUAAACAGGUAGACCAUUUUGUCUCACAAAAAAAUUAGACCAUUUCUCGUAAAUAAGCAGACCAGGCUUCUUAAACAGGUAGACCUCUUAAGAAUUCUUUAAGUGUCUGUGAAUUCUGUACACUUUAGAGUUGGUCUACGCAUAGUAUGAGUCAAUGAUUCGAAAACCUAGUACACCAUAGGGCAUCCAAAAUGGAAUUAGGAGGUCUACACAACCAAAUACCAAAUUGUGUCUCCUCAUAAUAAGCUAGGGCAGCUAAUCUAUGAGUAACAAAAUUACAAGUUCUAGAAGUAUAUGUAAUUGAGACGGAAGAGAAAACCUUCAUAAGUUCUUUGAUAUCAUCAAUGAGUCCUGCCUCAAACAUCCCUUCAUAAUGAACCGAGUUCACUGCUGUUACAGUUUCAGAACAGUCAGACUCCACCUGAAUGUUCUUGUGCCCCAAAGAAAUUAGAAGGAGUAAACCCUCCUUGAUGGCUUUGAGCUCAACUUGCUUUGCUGAGACCACAUACAAAAUUGGUUUUGCAAAAGCUACAAUAAAGUUACCUUGAUCAUCUCUUACUACACCGCCAGUGCCUCCUAUCGUUUUUUGUGUAAUAUAGCUACCAUCCACAUUUAGCUUGACAAAGCCAUGUUUUGGUGGCUUCUAGUGUUUUUGCUUCAUUGUUAUCUGUGCGCUUGAGGGUUUCCGAACAUCUUGGAACUCCUGUAGCCAGGAAAGAAAGCUUAAAACAAUCUGAGCAGGAGUCUGAGAUUUCACAUUCCAAAGCACAUCAUUCUUAUUCCUUCAGAUAGCAGCUAGAAUCAUAAGAAGUUUUUCAAAAAUAUUUUGAGGGAAGUUAAGAGCUAUCUCAAGCAUCCACCAUUUGAAGUAUGUGUGUUGGUGUGGAAAGUCACCGAAAUUAAAAGAAGCUGCUGAAAGAGUUUCUUUAGCAUAAGGGCAUAAGCAAAAGGGGUGCAUUGUGGUUUUAAACCUGUGAGGAUACACUAUACAGCUCAAGUCCCCGGUGAAGCCCUUUCUUUGCAGUCUAUCUCUUGUAGGCAAUAUACCACCACAAGCUCUCCAGAUAGUGAUUUGGACUUUAUGUGGUACGCAUGUCUUCCAAAUUCUUUUCCGUAGUUCUUUACACGGAUCUCCAUGAGAAGGUGAGUCUAGAGCACUUCCCAUAAUAGAUUCACGCGCCAACCAGCACGUUGUUUUAACUGAGUAAAAACCUUUCUUCUCCAUACUCCAACUGAUACAGUCUUGUCUAGAACGUUGACUGAGUGCAAUGCUUAGAAUUUUAUCAGCCACAGCCGGAAGAAAAUAAGAUUGAAUUAAGUGUGAGUUCCACUGUUUCGUAUCACUAUUGAUGAGCUCACUAACUUUUUCCAACUAACAAUUUGGAGGUUUUUGAAUCAAGUAUCUAGGACAUUAUGGUAUCCAAUUCUGUGACCAAAUAUUGAUAUGAGUGUAAUUUUCAACUCGCCACUAAAUGCCACCUUGUAGAAUUGGUCUACUUGCAAUAAUACUUCUCCAAGAGAAUGAAGGAGAUUCUCCAAGUUCUGCAUCCAAAAAAGAACAAUCGGGUGAUACUUGGCUUUAUAUAAUUUUACAAUAAGAGUGUUAGGAUUUUUAAGAAGUCUCCAGCCUUGCUUUGCCAGCAUGGCUAAGUUAUAGGCAUGAAGAUUCUUAAACCCAAACCACCCUCAUGUUUGGUAAGACAUAGCCGUUCCCAGCUUCUCCAGUGGAUCUUUUUCUUGUCCACAUUGUCUCCCCAGAAAAAAAGAAGCACAUAAUUGAUGAAUGUCGUCACAAAGGCCCUUCGGUAAGAGAUAACAAUUCAUAGUAUAUAGAGGCAUAGUCUGGGCAAUAGCUUUAAUGAGUACCUCCUUCCCGGCUAAACUUAAUAUAGUUGCUUUCCAUCCCAAGAGCUUUUUCUCCAGUUGUUGUUUGAUGUAAGCAAAAAUGGUUGUUUUGGAACGACCAACUUUCAUUGGAAG